AUCAGUGGAGCGUGUGUGGUUAACCGAAACACUAACCUGGACUUAAUAAGGUAGGCAAAGGGUAACUUAAUAUUUAUCAUAGUAUCGAUGGAGCGCGUGUGGUUAACCGACACAUCGAUUGAGGGGUAAAUAUUAAGGGUACCAAGUAGUUUUCAUGGUUACUUCACACAUUGUUUUGUGAUCAUCGGCAUCCCAGUCACAAAACCUGAAGGGCACACUCGAGAUUGAAACAUGCCAUUGAAAAGUUCAAUGAAUCUCAAAGAAUCUAGGAGUUUCAAAACUAAUUAAAACCUAAUAAUUUAUUUCGUUUUUCAUGGUGGAAAUUGGUGAAUCGUCAUUCACCUACCUUCAAAUAUUUUAUAGAUUGGAUUACGACAUCCCUCUUCUAAGUUAUAAAAUAUUGUGUUGGGUCCUAGCCUUAAUAUUACAUUUGGGUCUUUUAUUAAGAACUAUCUUUAUAUCUAAACUAAACUUGUCUUUCUUUUUCAAAUGUCUUCCAACAACGCUGCUUCUGGCUCAAACCCUACCUGCUCCUUCUCUUUAAUGAACCUCUGUGGGAGAGUCAUCUUUGACGGAUCCAACUUUAUGGAUUAGAUCAGAAACAUCAGGAUGGUCACUGAGUAUGAGAACAAAUAAUAUGUACUCGACAAGGAGCUUAAGGAACUUGAGUCAUCUGCUACUCCUGAGGAGAUCACUGAAUAUCAGGCACAUGAAAGAGAUGCUAUCAAAGUGGCAUGUAUCAUGUUGGCCACUAUGAAAGUCGAGAUCCAAAAGUCCUAUGAGGACUACUAUCCUUUUGAGAUGCAUCAGGAUUUGAUGGACCGCUACCAUCAGAGUACCUGUUAAGAGCAAUAUGAAAUCAUCUAUCCAUGAUAACAACCUAGAUGAAGGAUGGUGAACCCAUCACGGGCCACAUGUAGAAAAUGCAAAGGUGCAUGGACCGUUUGAUGAAACUGAAUGUGAACUUCCCAUAGGUGUUGGCAAUAGACAUCAUUUUGCACUCCUUACCUUCAUGUUAGGAUCAGUUCUGUAUGACAUACCACAUGAACAAGGAGUAAGUCACACUCAGAAAACUUCAAGGACUCUUGAAGACCGCAGAAACUGGUCUUAAGAGUAAAUCGGUUGUUACCACUCCUACUCCUACCACGGCCUCUAUCUUCGCAAUCGGGCAAGGAAAAGGGAAGAAAAGGAAUAUCCCUUCAAAGGGUAGCAAGGGGAAGACCCUUGAUGGCCCCUUUUCAAGUGGAACCAACAAAGGUUUUGUCACUCCUUCUGCUAACCCUAAAGAGGCUGAAUGCUUCUAUUGCCAUGAAAAGUGGUACUGGAAGUGAAACUGCCCAAAGUACCAACAACAUGUUAAGGAUGGGAACGUGAAACCCAACCAUGCAGGUACAUACACUAUAUUGUCUAAUAACUCACCCCAUUCAAAUUCUUCGGUGCUUGAUACAGGUUGUGGUAUUCACAUAUGUACUGAUUUGCAGGGACUAAGAAGAAGUGAGAAUGUGGAGCAUGGAAAGAUAAACUUGAUCAUGGGGAAUACGAAAGCAUCACCUGUCACCAACAUUGGAGUUUAUUCUUUGUUGCUAAGUAGUGGAUUAGUAUUAGAUUUGAAUAAGUGUUGUUACUCGUCUGAAAUAGCGAGAAAUAUUAUUUCCUUUCAUGGUUUGUACAAACAAGGUUGUACCAUUUCAUUUGAUAAUGAUAGUAGUGGUAUUAAUGCUUUCUUUACUAAUGUUUUUUAUUUUUAAGCAUUACCUUGUGAUGGUGUAUAUGAAACUGUUUCGGUUGUUGAUAACCUAGGAAAUAAUGCAUUGUGUAUCGAUUCUUCUGCUAGCUUGGAUAAAGCAUCAUUAUGGCACUGUUGUCUUGGACAUGUAAGCAAAAAUGCAUAAGCCAACUCCAAAAGGAUGGAGUCCUGGAGUCGUUUGACCUAAAGUCAGAUGACAGCUGUGAAUCUUGUUUGCUUGGGAAAAUGACAAAGUCACCCUUUACUGGUACUUGUGCUAAGGAUCAGGGUUUGUUGGAACUCAUACAUGCUGAUGUGUGUGGACCCUUCAUAACCACCACAAAAGAUGCUAAUCGCUUCUAUGUGACUUUUACUGAUGAUUUUAGUAGAUAUGGAUAUGUGUACUUAAUCAAGCAUAAGUCAGAGACCUUUAAAAGAUUCAAAGAGUUCAAACAGGAAGUGGAGAAUCAGUUGGGCAUGAACAUUAAGAUGCUUCGAUCUGAUCUAGGUGGUGAGUAUCUUAGUACAGAGUUCCUUGACUAUCUUAAGGAAUGUAGGAUUAUCUCAUAAUUGACACCUCCCAGGAAACCACAGCUUAAUGGUGUGGCUGAGAGGCGCAAUCGAACCUUGUUGGAUAUGGUUCGUUCAAUGAUGAGUCGAGCUUCGCUACCAAUCUCAUUCUAGGGGUAUGCCUUAGAGAUUGCCACCCAUAUCCUUAAUCUAGUCCCUACAAAGAAGUUUUCCAAAACACCUCAUGAGAUGUGGGCCGGAAAAGUUCCCAAUCUGGACCACAUCAAGAUUUGGGGUUGCGAGGCUUUCAUGUGGCACGGGUCUCACGAUAAGCUCGAACCUCGAAGUGAGAGGUUUAUUUUCAUCAGCUACCCACAGAGAUCCUUUGGUUACCUCUUCUACAGACCCAGUGAUAAUGUGGUCUUUGUCGCAAGGAGAGGAGUCUUUCGUGAGAGAGACUUCAUGAGCCAAGGAAACAGUGGGAGGCAAACUGACCUUGAAGAAAUUCAAGAGUGAAGUGGUGAUGGAACCUCAAACCCUAGCCAUCAACCUGAGGCGGAAACUCCUGUUGAUCUGACAGAAGAGUAUGUACCUCUGAGGUGUUCCACGAGAGUUAGGAAUGCACAUGAGCAUUACGAUGGAUUCCAUAUUAAUACGGAAGGUGAUACACUUAUCAGUGAUAUCAUACUGGUAAGUCUUGAUAAACCUAACAGCUACACGGAAGCCAAUCAAGCCAUGGCAGGCCCGGAGUCUGCUAAAUGGAAAGAGGCUAUGUACAGCGAGAUACAAUCCCUGUAUGAAAAUCAAGUUUGGAACUUGGUUGACAAUGUACCACGUCCGAAGACAGUUGGGUGCAAAUGGGUCUUCAAGAAGAAGACUGACAUGGAUUGUAAUGUACACACUAAUAAGGCAUGAUUGGUUGCAAAGGGCUUUUCUCAAACUACGGGAGUUGAUUAUGAUGAGACCUUUUCACCAGUAGCAAAGAUUAAGUCUAUUAAGGUUAUGUUAGCAAUUGCUGCGUUUCAUGAUUUUGAAAUAUGGAAAAUGGAUGUUAAAACUGCUUUCCUUAAUGGAGAGGUGGCUGAGGAUGUUUACAUGAGUCAGCCAGAGGCUUUUUUCAGCACAAAGUACCCUAAUAGAGUGUGUAAGCUUGAAAAAUCCAUCUAUGGGUUAAAGCAAGCACCUCGCAGAUGGAAUCUUUGUUUCGAUGAGAAAGUCAAAGAGUUUGGCUUUUCGAGGAGUAAAGAUGAAUCUUGUGUAUAUUUCAAGGCUAGUGGGAGUACAGUUAGGUUUUUGCUAUUAUAUGUGGAUGACAUACUACUCAUAGGAAAUGACAUCCCAACUCUGCAGGAAGUGAUGUUCUGGCUUGGGAAGUGUUUCACUGUGAAGGACCUUGGAGAAGCUGCCUAUAUCCUAGGGUUAAGGAUUUUGAGAGACAGUAGUAAAAGACUAGUUGGACUUAGUCAGAGUACCUACUUGGAGAAGGUGCUGAAUAGAUUCAGCAUGCAGAAUUCCAAGAAAGGAGAGUUACCAAUCCAGAGUAACAUAGACUGAGUAAGACUCAAUGCCCGAAUACAGAGGACGAGAUUGUAAAGAUGAGUCGAGUACUGUAUGCUUCCGCUGUAGUCUCGAUCAUGUAUGCUAUGACUUGUACUCGUCCUGAUGUGGCCUUUGCAUUAAGCAUGGUCAACAUAUAUCAAGGGAAUCCUGGCAAGGCUCACUGGACUGCGGUAAAGAACAUUCUCAAGUACCUGUGGAGGACUAAGGACCGGGUCCUUACCCUCAGUGGGAGUGAUGACUUGAGAGUAUUGGGGUAUAGUGAUGCUAGCUUUCAAAUUGAUAGGGAUGAUUUCCGCUCUCAGUUAGGCUAGGUCUUUACCUUAAACGGAGGAGUUAUUUCUUGGAAAAGUUCCAAGAAGGAGACAGUGGUUGAUUCAAAUUACGAAUGAGAGUAUAUAGCAGCAAGCGAGGCAGCAAAUGAGGCUAUAUGGCUAAAGAACUUCAUUGGAGACCUUGGAGUUUUACAAGCUAUAAAGGAGCCUAUAAAGAUUUUCUAUGGUAGUGAAAGUGCAGUUGUCUUAGCAAAGGAACCAAGGGAUCACGGGAGAUCCAGACACAUCGACAGAAAAUAUCAUUUCAUCAGACAUCGAAUAGAAGAAGGACUCCUCGUGGCAAAGAGGGUAUCAUCAAAUGAGAACCUGACAGAUCCCCUUACGAAGGGACUGGGUAGGGUUAAGCAUCUCCAACAUGCAAGGUGCACAGGGCUGAAGGAUGAUAUUAGUUUUAGUAGUUACAUAUCUUUGAAAUGUUUAAAGUGUAAUUGACAUUUGACGAUGAAUAAAAGUUGUGUUUAUUUAUGAUUAAAGUGUUGCUAUCUUUUGUCAAUCAUUUACUAUCGUUUCAAUUUGCAUGUUUUGACUUCCAGAAUAAUUAUGUUAUGUUAUUUCAUAUUAUUCAAAUUGUCCACAGUCGGUCAUAUGUUGGAAGUAGAUAUGAAUCAAGAUUGUCAUGUAGUUGGUUGUAGAUGUAUAAGGCGUUGGACAUUGCAAAGUGUUGCUACAAAACUCAUGAGUGCUCAUAAGUUCUGAGUAUUGGAUUCAACCCACACUCACUCGCAUCACUUCAUGGAAUUUAUCUCGAGUGAUCGUGAGACGGUAAUAUCAUAUAAGUCUUCAAACCCAGAGAUAUGAAUUAUUGCCUAUGAGUUGGUUAUACAUUGAUUAUACGAAAACGCGUUGGUAAAUUGAUGUUAUAAAAUGUGCCUUUGUGUAUGAUUCAUGAAGUAGUAGAACAAGCAUAUGAGUCGAAGUUUAUCUGUUCCUUAUUGGAUUAGAAGCGAUAUCUGGGCCCCUCAAUGAUUUUGUGUUGACCCAUGUACCGGGCCCGGUCAGAACUAAGUUGACGUGUUCAAUUAAGUUCUCUGUCAAACAAAUUGGAAAUCAAGAAACAAACUGUUGGACAAUAAGUAAGAAAUUGUUCCAUGUAUUUGUCCAGCUAAUAUCUAGAACAGAGGAUUAUAUGACCACUUAUCUUAAAUGGCGUAUCAUCAUCAUCUCAGUUCCGAGUGACCUUGAAAGAGCUAUGAUUGUAGAUCGGUUCCUGAAGUCAUUCUUGCAGUUAUAGUUACUAGACAUAUCCAUGUGGGAGACUGUUGGAUUAGGUAUCUAAGUUCAUAACUAUUUCUGGAAUGUACUAGACCCGAUUAGCAUGGUCCAUUUGGGUUGCAUGGCAUUGCAACACUUGAAUAGACUAAAUGAGAGAAAGGACACUAAAGGAUUAUUAAUAUAUUAUAAGUUGUAAUAUGUUAAUAAUAUUAUUUAAUUAGUAUUGAUCAAAGAAUUAAUUUGGAAUUAAUUAAGUGAUAAAAAAGAGACUAAUUAAAUAUAUGGGGAUGAUUGUGUAAAUAAUCUAUUCUUAUAUAGUGAUCUAAUGAUCCAUGGUUUGUAUGGAUUGGGCUAAAACCCAUAAGGUACUCCAUGGAUAAUCCAUGGAGGUUAGAAACUCAUGGAUCAUGUAAUAUGAAAAUCCAUGACAAUUUGGGUUUACUUGGUGUAACCUUACUUGUGCCACAACUAUAUAAGAAGUUCCAAGGCAAGAAAAAUCGGCCACUAAGUGAAGAACAAUAGGGUUAUCCGAUUUUGAGGUGUUAGUGAACUUCUCUCAAGUCUAUUCCAAGAGUUGUAGUGUUGUGUGAGACAUUUGAGGAAUCACACUUGAGGUGCUAGGCUCAUAAGGAUCUCAAGGAAUCCAAACUACAAAAGGUAUGUUCUUCUUCUAUCAUUUAGGUUUAAAAUUUCCCCAUGGUAUUCUAGAUAGGUUAAGAUCCUUGGAAAAUCAAAUUUACAUGUAUCAUAGUAAAACAUAGAAUCAAGGUUUCUAGGGUUGCAUGUACACCUUAGGAGUGUGAGAAAGCUCAUAACCAAACAAACAUGUCCGUGUAGUCCUGCAUGAUUGGUACAUCAUCCACAUUCGCCUUACCCUUAUCUGGGUAUCCAUAAAAUGUUGGAUUAGUGUCUAAGUCCAUAACUAUUUUGGUAUGUACUUGACCCGAUUUUGAGCAUGGUCCUUUUGGGUUGCCUUCACCAUAGCAAUAUGUAGGAUGAAUUAAGGAGAGAGAGGUUUAAAUAUGAUUUAUUAAUAUAUUAUGAGAAUAAUAUAUUAAAGGAGAAAUCAUAUUGUUUAAUUAAUAUUAGUCAAGAAUUAAUUGAUAAUUAAUUUUGUGGCUAAAAGAGAUUGAUUAAACUUAAGGGACUGGACUGCAAUUAUUGGAUAAUUGAGUUAUUGGGCUAAGGAAUGCUAAAGGAUCAAGGGGUGAACGAAAUUAUGAUGGAAGCCCAUCAUAUUUUCGUCCAUGGCCUUAUCCAGAAGGUUCCAUGGGCUGCUUAGAGUUUAAGUUGUCCAUUAGGGUUUUGACUAAAACCCUAGCAGCCCACACAAGUAUAUAAAGGACCCCUUAGGCCCCAAAAACGUGGACAACUGAUUCUCUAGGGUUUCUAGUCGUUUUUGGGCAGCCUCCUUUCUUCUCCUCUUCAUCCAAGUUGCAUAAGGUGUUUGUGACUCCAUUAGAGGUGCAGCACUUGAGGCACUAAGCUUUCUAAGGCCAAUCCAAGCAAGGAAUUGAUUGUUAUUGCUAUAUAACAAUCAAAGGUAAUUCUCUAAACCCUAAUUCAGUUUAUAAUAUGUUAGAUCUAAGUUUGUUAGUCUUGGAUUCAAAGCAUGUACAAUAGAGAAACCUAGAUCCAAGCAUUAGGGUUUGUAUGAGCACAUAGGAUUGUUCUUAUGCCUAAAACCCAUCAGUGGUAUCAGAGCCUUGAUUGGUUUCAGUUGUAUGUGAUGCUUAACUGUUUUGUUUGCUUAAAAUCGAGUUUUUGGCCUCUGCCCGACUCAACUCGGCGAGUCAGUAUCUGGACUCGGCGAGUUGGCCCUACUCGGCGAGUCCAGGUCUGACUCGGCGAGUCAGUGCGUCAGGCAGAGGGUAUUUCGGGAUUUAGCUGCUGUUUUGACUUGGAUUUGAUGCUUAAAUUGUUUUAUGAAGUUAAAAUCCGAAUUUUAUCUUAAUUAUAUGUUUAUCCUUGCCAAAACAAUAGAUAAUUUCAAAUCUUUUAAAUAUUGGUUGUUUAUGUGAUAAAUAUGGAUUAUUUAAAGUUAUUUGGUAAUUAUCUAAUGACUAAAAUAAGAUUAGGUCAAAUAUAGAUAAUUAUGAAAUUAAUUGUUUAAUUUGAAUUAUUUGUUAUUUGAUCCCUAAUGUUUUGAAAUGUUUCAAAACUUGCCCUCAAGUUUUGGAAUUUAAAAGUUGAUUAAAAGUUUAAUUUUGAAAUGUUAAAUUCUAAAACCCUAGUAAUUUGAAAAGUUCAAAUCACACCCUUAUGGUUUUAUUAAUUAAUUAAAGUGUAUAAUUAAAAGUGAUUUAAUAAACCCAUAAAGUUUUGGUUUACAUUUAAUUAAAUUAAAAGUAUAAUUUACUAAGUUAAACCACCUAGUAUUUUAAAAGUGUAAAAUACACCCUAUACUAUAUAUAACAUUAAAAGUCUAGUAUUAUAUAUGUAUGAGUAAACAGUCAGUCUUACCGUUAGUAGGCCUCAUUCACGAAGCUGGUCUAUAAGGGGUGUUUAAGGAAAUUGCCUAUAAAAUGGCGAUUGAAUGGGUAUCCACUCUUACCCACCGCACUCUUGACUAGUGGAGGGUCGUUAGCCGAACGGGUAGGAUAGGACAGAAACCUUCCAUUAUAAGUAUAAUGAAGUACAAAGUAACUAAAUGCUUUUUCAAAUUCCCAAAUCAUAGUUACUUUAGGAAAAAUGUGAAAUUGUAUGCUAAUCCAUAGAAUUACACUUCGUACCCCUGUCAAACGUUAGUGGAGCGUGUGUGGUUAACCGGCACACUAAUUUGGGGAUGACAUUGGUAGCGAAGGGUGACUCGAUGUUUGUCAUAGAUCAAUGGAGCGUGUGUGGCUAACCGGCACAUUGAUUAGGUGAUAGUAGCAUUGGGUGCACCACGUGAUUCGUAUGGUUAUUCACACCUUGUUUGUGAUCCUCGGCAUCCCAGUCACAAAUAGUAGGGCAUAAUCGAGAUUAAACAUGCCAUUGAAAAGUUCAAUGAAUCUCAAAAGAUCUAGGAGUUUCAAUUCAUUUAAAACUUAAUCUUCCUUUUCGUUUUUCAUGGUGGAAAUUGGUAAAUCGUCAUUUACCUACCUUCAAAUAUUUUGCAACUAGAUUACGGCAUCCCUUUUCUAGGUUGUAGAAUAUUGUGUUGGAUCCUAGCUUGAUGUUUCAUUUGGGUGUUACAUCAAGAAUUCUAAUCAACAUAACUUGAAUUUUCUCCCGUUUUGUAGAUGUCUGAAUCUUACAAUGGUCUUCCCAAAUCCUUUGGAACAAGCUUUCCAAAUGAAGAUGACGUUCCGAGAUACGAUCAAGGAAAUGAGAGUCAUGCUUCACUUCCUCCACCUCCUCCAAUUGUUCUCCCUGACCCACAAGUUCAAAGGCUUGAAAAGUUCAAGCUCACUCAAGCCCUUUUGGCAAGUAAACACGAAGAUGGGAAACCUGUGUGUGCACACGUCUUAGAGAUGAAGUCACACAUUGAUAGGUUAAGCAUGUUGGGUGUCGAGAUUUCAAGCGAGUUGGCUGCUGACUGGGUUCUUCAGUCACUUCCUGAAUCAUAUAGUGAGUUCGUUAGAGAGUACUAUAUGAUGGAUCACGACGUGACCCUCAUUAAUCUCACCUAUUUGCUUAUAGCUGCUGAAUCAGCAAUGAUUUGGCGUGCUGGUCAAGCAAACUUGUCUGGUGAAUCAAACUCCCAAACUUCAAUGGACACUGGCAACAUUGGAAGUCCAGAAAGAACUAAGUCUGUGAUUGUCCGAUGUGCUGUGCCAAAGGAGUCCAUUUGCUUUUAUUGCCAAGAGAAGGGGCAUUGGAGACGAAGCUGCCCUAACUACCUGAGAGAUCUAAGAGAUGGGAGAGUCAAGACGUAUGGCUCUGCUUCAGGUAAAAUCCAUUAUCUAACUCUUUUGAGUUCCUAUUCUAGAUUCUUAAUACAUGAUGUGAUAAGAUUACAUUUUGAUGUUUUGUAGGAUCGAAGAAAAGAGAGGAAGCUUGAGGGAAGAAGUGAGCUGAAUCUAAUCAUGAAGAAAUGGAUUUCGAUCGCAUUACUUGAAGAAUGGAUUCUUGAGCUACUACUUGGAGUUAGAAUAGAUUGUUAAGAAAUAUGUAAUAACAUAGUUUUUCAAUUGAAUUGCAUUGUAAGGACAAAUUUUUUCCGCAAUAAAAUGAAUUUUGAUUUUAUCUUAUUUAUUUAUCCUUGCAAUGGCAUGUAUGAAAAAAUUAAUGUUUGAAUGUUUCUAUUAUUAGCAAUAAUGGAUUUGAUUCUUAAUUAUGUUAUUUGUGGAAAUGUCAAAAGUUUACCAAAUAGGGAGAGUUUCUCAUCGCCCAAGUUUCAAUUGGACAGAAACUUGGAAUCAUGCAAUGUGUAUUGUAUGAUGAAUGAAAAACUUUCACAUUUGGGAAACUUAGACUAAUUCUUUGACAAAGUGUCAAUUGAAGGACUAGGAGAUCAAGUACACUAGGUUGUGCGUUGAUCAAGUCCACCACAAGAGUGACAAAGAUAUUCGUCAUGAUUUACUAAAGUUUAGUAAAUAUGAUUAUACUUAUAAGAUUAAGUGUAAUUCUGAGUUGAUUGAAAGAGUUUCAAUGAAUAGUAGAACGAAUAAAGAAGAAUCAAGUAGGCAGAAAGAUAAAAGUUUCUCUAUUCUAAGAAGAAGGGAGAGUACCUUUUAUUGUGUUUUAUGAUAAGUCUUAAUGAUUAAGAACCAUGUCUCAAUUGAUCCUCUAAGUGAGUCUUAGUGCAAUUGCAUGUCUAAGAAGAGGAAUCGAGAAUUGUAGAAAUGGUUAAAUCAAAGAGUCAAUCAUACUUCGUUCCAAUAUCAAGUCUUAGAGUCAAGAUUGUGACAUUGAGUGAAAAGUCUUAAGUAGGUUUAUAACACUCAUCAAAUGUGGAAUUUGGAAAAGUUUUCUUAUUCUUGCACAUUUGAAAUUGGUAAGUUGUGCUGUCUUGGAUAAGACAAAGACCAACUAGGACCAAUUGUGUGAAGUGUUUUGUCUUGAUAAAUGCUUCACUAACUAUUGAAUAUUUGUUUGUCAAGAAAUGUUUCUUGACAAGAGAAUCUUAUAUGUCAAGAAGUCAGUGGGAGUCUUAAUGGUCUUGAAAAGGUUUCAAGAACAAAUCAAGAAUAAACCUUAUCGAUCAUCACUAGCACACGACUUGAGGUUUACAACCUAUCGUGCUGACAUUGUUUUGUUUCUGUGCCAUUCCAAUUGAGUUAAUUGUGUAUAUGAGUUCUAUGAGUUCUCAUUUGAAUACACACUAAAGCCUUAGUCGAUGGAAAGUAAAUUGAUAUGUAAGGACAAGUUACUAAACUACUUGGAAGGCGUGGUGGGCACUCGUGUUACCAUAGGGCAAGAAAUCAAGAUUAAGAAAGUUCAGUCCAUAUGAGUUUGGAUUUGUCGCAAACCUUGUUUUUGGCAAAUUCACAUGGAUAGGAACUCAUACACCAUAAAAUCUAAGUGUCAUAAGAUUCCCUCCUUCAUGAAAAUGACUGUGAGGAAAUGCUUUCACUAAGAGAGAUUUUAAGAAGAUAGCAAUUGUGAAAAUUGUAUUCUCAAAUUCGAUUAUGGUUACGGCAUCCCUUUCCAUAGUUCGAAUUGUGAGAUUUGGCAAUUAGUUUCAACAUUUGGAACUUAGUAACAUAAGUUAUGAAUUGUUUAAACACACAUAUGAGCUAUCUAAGGCAAAGGUGUAUAAGGUUAAGAAGCUUAGAUAAAGGCUUAUCGAAGCAUCUGGUAUUAGAAAUAUGAAUUUCAGAAAUUCAAUAGGCAUUGUUUUCUGGAAGUUCAUUUGUUUUCUGAAUACAUGUCAAAGCUAGUGGGAGCAUAAGUGUUAUGCUUAUAUGAUAAUAAUCAUCAUGAUAGUGGGAGCAUAAGUGUUAUGCUUGUAUGAUUAUUAUGGCGAGUAUUGCAAGUUAGCAAUAUUAAUUAUAGAAAAACAAAGAUUCAAUUUGCAAAGUUGCAUGGGUUGAAAAGUUGUUUUGAUAUAAUUAAGGGAGAGAAUAUUAUACUUCGUUUCAAAAUCUAAAGCUUAGAUUGAGAAAUUUUAAUAGUUUCAGUCAAAGGAUACAUUGUGAGUUCUUAAAAUUCGAUUAUGAUUACGGCAUCCCUCUUCAUAGUUCGAAUUAUGAGAACAUGACACAUAAAAUAUUAUGGCAAAAGAUUGAUAAAGUAUCAUAUCUUUAUGUAAAACAUUAUGCAUCGUGUCCCAUACGCUUCGGGUAUAGGAUCGAUUGCAAAUGCUAUAAUAUUUUACCAUUCUAAAAUUUUCCAAAUGUCUAGUGCAUUAAGGAGGGAAAAGGACUAGAAUUGGUUUUGACUAAAAUAAUUAAACAACUAUCAAAGGACGAUCCAAAGUUCGCUGAGGAUUGGUCGCUUGUGAGUAGUUGGAAGUAUGGUAUUGGAUGGACCAUAUCGACAUUACUAUGAAUAGAUAAGAUUCUAUCAAGAAUGAGUUGUCAUAUGGCAAAUGUGGAAAUGUUUCCAUAUUGGGAGUUGGAUAUUGAGAUUCUGUGUCUAGAUUAGAAAACUUUAUGCAAGAAGGAUGUUCAAAGGAAUGCACUCUGAAUGUGAGACUUCAUGUCUAUGGAAUUGUCUUGUAACAAUUUCUAAGAAAGUACUUUGUAAUUUCAUUAGCCAAGUCUUGGUGACUUUUGUGCUAUGACUUUACGAAAGGAUCGUUGCGUAAAAUGUUAGAAUCUAGCAUAUUCUAGUAGUGGCAAGAACCUUGUGUUCUUACACUAACAAUGGGGAUUAAGGAAUUGUGAAAUGAGAAUCAUUGGAAAAGUUUUCAAUUGAUCUAUUUCACAAAGCAUGGACCAUAGGAAACAAAGUGUGCAUGCUUAGAGCAUGGGACAAUUGUAGUUGUAAUUCAAGUAAUGAGUUGAUUAUCCGAAACUUUAAAUAAUAAAUAAUGAGUAAUCAAUAUGGUGGAUAAAUAGAGGUGUUUUAUUUACUCUCACAAGUUUGGGGCCAGAUAGGAUGAAGUACUAUUGUUAUGUUUCAGUUUGCAUGUUUUGACUUCCAGAAUAACUAGGUUAUUCAAACAUCCACAGUCGGUCAUACGUUGGGAGUAGGUAUGAAUAAAGACUGUCAUGAAUCUGUCUGUAGAUUGUCUGAAGUGUUUAGACAUAGCACAAGUUUGCUGCAGAGUUCAUGAGUGCUUUGAUAAGAUUAGAGUAUUGGAUUAAACCCACGCUCACUUGGAUCACUUCAUGGUUUUAUCACGAGUGAUUAGUGAGACGAUAAUAUUGUAUAUUCUUGAAACCGAGACGUGUGAGUUGUUAUUUGUUGGUCGGUUGCACAUUGAUAAUAAGUAAACGCACCAGUAACUUGGUGUUAUAAAACUUAUUGUUGUGUGUGAUUCGAUCAGUAAAUGCAAGCGAGCAUUUGAGUCGAAGUUUAUCCAUUCCUUUUACCCAAAGUGGGAUAAAAGCGAUAUCUGUGGGCCUCUCGAUGAUUUAGUGAUGACACCUAAGCGCUUGGCCAAGCCGGGACUAAGUUGAUGUGUUCAAUUGUAGUCUGUUAUCAGUCGUCAUAAAUCGGAAGUCGGGAAACAGUAUAGAGAGAAUGAUUGAAAUUCAUGUCUUUUGUCUAUACGAUAUCUUGAGAAUGGAGGAAUAUAUAAUCCCUUAUCUAGAGGACACGCUAUCUGAUAAGAUCAGAGUUGACAGCGGCUUUUGAAAGCUACGAUUGCUGAUCAGGUUCUGAAGUCAUACGGAAAAUAGUUAUUAGACUUAUCCAAGUGGGAGACUGUUGGAUUAGUGUCUAAGUCCAUAACUAUUUUGGUAUGUACUUGACCCGAUUAUGAGCAUGGUCCUUUUGGGUUGCCUUCACCAUAGCAAUAUGUAGGAUGAAUUAAGGAGAGAGAGGUUUAAAUAUGAUUUAUUAAUAUAUUAUGAGAAUAAUAUAUUAAAGGAGAAAUCAUAUUGUUUAAUUAAUAUUAGUCAAGAAUUAAUUAAGAAUUAAUUUUGUGGCUAAAAGAGAUUAAUUAAACUUAGGGGACUGGACUGCAAUUAUUGGAUAAUUGAGUUAUUGGGCUAAGGAAUGCUAAAGGAUCAAGGGGUGAACGAAAUUAUGAUGGAAGCCCAUCAUAUUUUCGUCCAUAGCCUUAUCCAGAAGGUUCCAUGGGCUGCUUAGAGUUUAAGCUGUCCAUUAGGGUUUUGACUGAAACCCUAGCAGCCCACACAAGUAUAUAAAGGACCCCUUAGGCCCCAAAAACGUGGACAAGUGAUUCUCUAGGGUUUCUAGUUGUUUUUGGGCAGCCUCUCUUCUUCUCCUCUUCAUCCAAGUUGUAUAUGGUGUUUGUGACUCCAUUACAGGUGCAGCACUUGAGGCACUAAGCUUUUGAAGCCAAUCCAUGCAAGGAAUUGAUUGUUAUUGCUAUAUAACAAUCAAAGGUAAUUCUCUAAACCCUAAUUCAGUUUAUAAUAUGUUAGAUCUAAGUUUGUUAGUCUUGGAUUCAAAGCAUAUACAAUAGAGAAACCUAGAUCCAAGCAUUAGGGUUUGUAUGAGCACAUAGGAUUGUUCUUAUGCAUAAAACCCAUCGUAAAAUUGGUGACAUACCCUGCGCAAACCUGUUGAAGGUAGCGCCUCACUUUCACUACUGAACACAAGGUCGGUCCACCCUGCGGUCUCUCUCUGUAUGAAUCACACAUUGAUAGGUUAAGAAUGUUGGGAGUCGUUGUCUGUGAGAAGCUAGUUGUUGACUUGGUUCUUCAGUCACUUCCUAACUCAUAUAGUGAGUUCAUAAGAGAGUACUAUAUGAUAUACCAUGACGUGACCCUCAUCGAUCUCACCUAUUUGCUUGUUUCUGCUGAAUCAACAAUGAUUUGGCGUAAUGGAGAAGAAAAGUUGAUUGGUGGAUCUGCCUUCCAAACCUCCUUGGACAUAGGCAAUGGCAACGAAAGGCAUGCCAUGGUCGAAAAGUUUGAUCAUAAGAGAAAGGAAAAGUCUUAGGUAGUUCCGUGUGCUGUUCCAAAAGAGUCAAUUUGCUUUUAUUGCCAAGAGAAGGGGCAUUGGACACUAAGCUGUCCUGUCUACCUGAGAGAUCUAAGAAAUGGGAGAGUCAAGACGAAUGACUCUACUUCAGGUAAAAUCCACUAUCUAUCUCCUUUAAUUUCCUAUUCAUUGAUUCUUAAUACAUGAUGUGAUAAGAUGAAAUUUGGAUGUUUUUGCAGAAUCAGAGAAAAGAGCGGAAGCUUAAAGGAAGAAGCAUGUUGAAUCUGAUCGUGAAGAAAUGGAUUUCGAUCACAUGGAUUCGAAGAUCAGAUUUUGAGCUGCUACUUUAGAGUUAGGAUAGAUUGCUAAGAAAUGUAAUAGCAUAGUUUUUCAAUUAAGUUGCAUUGUAAGGACAAAUUUUUCCGUAAUAAAAUAAAUUUUGAUAUUGUUUUAUUUAUUUAUCCUUGCAAUGACAUGAAUGAAAAAUUUAUGUUUGUGUAUUUUUAUUAUUAGCAAUGUUGAAAUGGAUGUGAUUCUUAGUUAUGUUAUUUAUGGUAGUGUCAUAACUUUCUAAGUAAGGAAAGAUUCUCAUCGCCCAAGUUUCAAUUGGACAGAAACUUGAAAUCAUAUAACUUGUAUUGUGUGAUGUAUGGAAAUCUUGAUAUUUGAGUAAUUAAGAAUAAUUGAUUGUUCACAUAAUUAUGUGAGUCAAGUGAAGGACUAAAGGAACUAGUACAUAAUUUUGUGUGCUAGUUAAGUCAAACAUAAUUAAAAAAUAACACUAUUCGUCAUGAUUUACUAAACGUCUAGUAAAUGUGAUUAUACUUACAAGAUUAAGUGUAAUUUUGAAUCAUUGAAAAGUUUCAAUGAAUGAAAGAAUGAAUAAGUAGAAUCAAUGAAGGCAGAAAGAUAAAAAGUUUCUCUAAUCCAAGAAGAAGGGAGAGUACUUUUGUAUCGUGUUUUAUGAUCGUCUUGGUAAUCAUAGGAACCAUAUUGCAAUUUAUCCUCUAAGGACACCUUAGUGCACUAGUUUGGCUAACAAGAGGAAUCGAUAAUAGUUGUAGUGGUUAACUCAAUAAGAUGUAUGGUACUUCGUUCCAAAAUCAAGUCUUAGAGUCAUACUCCAAGAUUGUGACUUGAGUGAGAUAGUCUUAAGUUGGAAUGUUCUUACACCAGCACAUUUUGGUAAGUUGUGAUGUCUGGAAUAAGACAAAGACCAACUAGUACCAAAUUGCAUGUAGUUUGGUCUUGAUAUAGACACACACUAACUCUUGGAUAUUUGUUUUUGUCAAGAAAUGUUUCUUGAUAAGAGCAUCUAAUAUGUCAACAGGUCAGUGGGAAUCUAAAGAUCUUGAAAAGUUUCAUGAACAAAUCAAGAAGUAAACCUAUUAAACACUAGCACACGACUUGAGGAAUGUAACCUAUCGUGUUGAGAAAAUUAUAUUAUUGUGGCAAUCUAAUUGAGUGAUUAUGCAUAUGAGUUCUACGAGUUCUCAAUAGUCUGCAUAAGGCAAGCACCUUGUUUAAUGAAAAUACAUUGACUGGCAUAGGUGAGCUGCUAAAUAACUUGGAAGUAAUGGUAGGACCCUUGAUGGAAAGAAAUUAAGAAUGAACAAGUUCUAUCCAUAAGAGAUUGGAUUUGUCACAAACAUUAUCUUAUGAUUACGGUUAUGACAAAUUCGCAUUGAUAGGAACACAUGCACCAUAAAAUCUAAGUGUCAUAAUGUUUCUCUCCUUCAUGAAAAUGAUUGUGAGGAAACACUUUCACUAAGAGAGAUUUUAAGGAGAUAGCGAUUAUGUAAAUUGCAUUCUCAAAUUCGAUUAUGAUUACGACAUCCCUCUUCAUAGUUUGAAUUGUGAGAUUUGGCAAUUAGUCUGAACAUUUAGGACUUAGUAAUAUAAGUUCUGAAUUAGUUUAGACACACAUCUGAGCUGUCUAAAGAAAGGUGUGUGAGUUUGAGAAGCUUAGAUAAAAGGCUUAUCAAAGCAUAUCGUAUUGGAAAUAUGAACUUUGGAAAUCAAUAAGUAUUGUGUUCUAGAAGUCCAACUGUUUUCUGAAUACGUGUCAAAGCAAGUGAGAGUAUAAAUGUUAUGCUGGAAUGGAUAUAAUCAUCAUGUUAGUGGGAGCAUGAUUAUUAUUAUUUUAAGUAUUUCAAGUUGGAAAUAUUAAUUAUAGAAAAAGAAAAGUUUCACUUUGCAAAGUUGUAGGAGUUGAAAAGUUGUUUUUGCUAUAAUUAAAGGAGAGUAUGUUAUACUUCGUUUCCAAUCUAAGAGCUUAGAUCGAGAAAUUUUAAUUGAAUUUAGUCAAGUAUAUAUUUAUUAUUUGCAUUCUCAAAGUUUGAUUAUGAUUACGACAUCCAUCUUCAUAGUUCGAAUUUUGAGAACACAAAAAUAGGAACAUUAUGACAAUAUUAUAGCAAGAAGCUGAUAAAGUAUCACGUUUUGUUGCAUCGUAUCCCAUACGCUUCGAGUAUAGGAUCGAUUGCAUAUGCUGUAAUAUUCGACCGUUCUAAAAUUUUCCAAAUGCAUAGGGCAUUUAGAGCGGAAAAGGGAAUAGAACCGGUGUAAGUCCCCAAAUUUGCUUGUGUAUCAAUCAGAUCCAAUUGAUGGUGCGGAAUCUCAAUCAAUUGGAUGAUGUCAGAUUAAAUUAAAAGAGAAGGAGAAGAAGAAGAAGAUGAAUCUAUGAUGUAUUAAUGAAAUGAUUGAUGCUCCAUACACAUAGUUCACGUACAGUCUCCUCUCUUGUAAAUGUUUAGAAAAGCAAAGUAUAAACCAUAUUUUUGACCCAACAAUCUCCCCCUUAGUUUAUAGCUUUCUUUUCUAAUUGACCCCACAAGCUCCCCUUAAAAAGUAGCUGUCACUUCUUGUCAAUCUUCAUUGGGAGCCUGGCUUCAGCUAUUAUCUUCAAAUUCUUCACAACGUCAAGAUGAUCUUGAUGAAUCUUCAAUGAAUGACUUCAUCUGGAGCAGUUGGGCUUUUCUUCAAGAUUUGAAAUUGAACGCACAUUGGGUGAGGAAGCUUCAUGUACUAAUUCUUGAAAGAUGGCGCUUUCAGCUUGAUAAUCUUCAAAGAGAACUAACAGAGAGAAAUAAUCUUCUGGAUCACUUCAGCAAGUACAAAGAUAAAAGCAGACUGAUUGAUGAGGUUUCAAUGCAAUCCGUCACAUAAUCUUCAAUUAUAGUUUCACCAUGCUUCUAGGGCUGAAAGAUUGAAUGUCGAAAGAAUAAUCUUCAUUUCUUGCUCCUUCGAAAGAGAAUUCUUCGAUGAUCACGGAUAAAGCCUUGGCUCAUAAAAUCCUCGAUAAAGUCUCCAUGAGUCAAAUCUACAUAUGAAUUCAUUUUUUCAAGACGAAACAAAACUAAAAGAUAACUUACCACACAAUAUUUUUGGAUUUUUUAUAUUUUCUGGAAAAAUAAAAACAGAAACAAAAAUAUUUUUGGAUUUUUGAUUUCUAUGAACAAGAAAUAAAACGGAAUAUAACACUAUUUUUGGAUUUUUUUUGUUUGAUUUUUGAUUUUUUUUAAUACUCCCCAUAAAUUUGUGCAUAGAGGAAAACUAUGAACAAAUUUAACAAAAACAAAAAUAUUUGGGAUCAAAGUUGUUAGACAGUCUUAAUCCGUUUGUCAGUACCUUCCCCUUCAUGAAUAGAUCUAGUCGAUCGCCGGUAUUGUGGUCCACUUAAGCACGAAAAAUUGUGACAAAUUUUGGACAUGAUAUAAGUGACAAGACAAGUUGAACCUAUGUUCCUAGAUAAGACUUCCUAAGGACCAUUCAACUAACGACGACCAAGGAUAUUGUUGUCCACCUAAGUGGAGUAGCGAGCUCUAUAGAUAACUUAUAAAUCGUUCAAUGUUAGUUGUACUAGAACAUGUUUCCCACUUCCUGAUAUACCCCAAUAAUCAAGGACUUCUGAGAUGCUCCUUACUUUAGGUGAGAAGACAAUUAUUAGGAGAGAGGAUAGAUUUAGAAUGCAUAUGUCGUACACCCAAGUCAGAUCUCUUCCAAUCACGCAGAAGAUGAAACAUAUGACUAACUAGAAUUUCAGAGGAAUUGAGAAGCAAAAGGUUGCAUAUGCUGUGUACCAGGUUGGAUUACUAAUCACGCAAAGGAGACAACAUAUGGCUAACAGGUAGAAAGAAUAGCAUAGACAGAAGAUGCAGAGAGACAAAUUUGCAUAUGUUGCAGUCCAGGUCGGAUCUUUCGAUCACACAAAGGAGGCAACAUAUGACUAAUAGUAGGAAAGAAAGAAAAUAACUUUCUACAGACCUAAUUUACCGUAAUUCCCCAGUCGCCCCGUCAAUAUUUGAAUUAAGGACAAAAUCCGUAUAUUAAGGAAAAGUUAAACCACAGUUCUAGAUACGGGUUCUCUUAAUGUGACCGGUAAAUUCUCAUGUAUAUCUCCCUGUUCAACCUACCCAUGCGUCAUAUUGUCAGGCUAAACGGAACUAUAUAGGUCAAGAUUUAUCAAGUCUCUAGAUUCCAUAAGUUCAUCUGUACCUAGUCAAGUCCAUUAAACUUUUCGUGCCUACCAGCGCAUCGAACACAGAGCCUAGACAAUUCAGCUUUGGUACCUUACACAGAUUCAGAUUGCUUGUUAUCACUUGUUGAUAUCACUUCCCAAUAAUACCUACUAACGAAAAACUAUAAGAAAAAUAAAAGAUUAACUCCAAAAUGAAUCAGUGUAAAAUAAACUAAAGAGUAUCGAGAAGAAAACUCAAACCAUAAUUCACCGAUUGAAUUUGCAUCCAGAAGGUCUGAGAAGAACAUGUAUAAUCUCAGAACAGAUCUGAAAAUUCUUCAUGUCAUUAAGCACUAACCCCAUAUGUGAUCCCUUCCUUUAUUCCUUUCCCACAAAGGACACAUACUCUCAAACAAAGUUCUGAAUGUUGUACUGUUGAGAGAUGCCUCCUAUCAAGUUCCUGGAACAACCACUAUCAACAAACUGAAGUUUGAUGAUAUGCCUCCAUAGCUAUUUCGACAGCAAGCGAGAUCAGUUGGUCUUUGGAACCCAGCCCAUUUUGAAACUGGGUUGACCUUUGUCAUCUUUUCAAGGAACUCUCUCCCAUGACAUAUCCUGCAUAUCACAAAUAGAAGAUGACGAAAUAUUAGAAUCGUUAGAAGAUUUGUUAGAUUGAACCUUUGGUACCCAUCGGUAGUUGGGUUUGACCCAUUUCUUGUUCAAGCGGAUGGGUGCCUCGGCACUUGAUUUUGAACUUGAAGUCGUCCUUUGAGAUGACCUUAACCUAGCCGGUCUUGGCUUCACUGGAACAUCUCUUGGAUUAGGCUUCUUGCCUGACAUUUCCUUCUUGACCUUGGGAUUUUGAUUCUUGGCCUUGGGAGUUGAAUUCUUGCUCGUCUGCGCAUUCCAGUCACCCUUAUCUGAAAGUGACCUUGAGGGGUUUCUUUUGGAAGGUCUCCCUCUUGGCACAUUCUGGCAUCCUUGUGCGUUGUAGGGAACAUAUGCACGAUUUGGACAGUUUCGGACAAUGUGACUAGGUGUUCCACAGUGAAAACAUGUCUUUUUCUUCACUGGGAAGUUGUUUCUUCCUGCCCCUGGUGGCGUGUCCAUGCCUUGUCUCUGGUUGUUCCCACAUGCACACUUGAAACAAGCCGUCGGUUUCGCUUGUUUUGGUGGCCUGUAUUUCUCAACAGCAGGUUGUUCUCAUCUUCUACUACUUUACCUGCAGAUGUAACAGAAUCAUUAGAAACGUUCACCUCAACCUUUUCUGGCACAACCACAACAGGUUUCCCAUAUUGAAGAUGUGCCUCCCUAUCAAUUUCUUCAUGUGUCAUAGGGAUGGAUAUAUAGUUAUGAUUGAGAGGGGGAGGAACACUAUUGUUGGAUUAGUGUCUAAGUCCAUAACUAUUUUGGUAUGUACUUGACCCGAUGGUGCAUGGUCCUUUUGGGUUGCCAUCAUCAAAGCAACUUGAUAGGAUGAAUAAUGGAACGAGAGGAGUAAUUAUGAUUUAUUAAUAUAUUAUGAGAAUAAUAUAUUAUAGGACAAAUCAUAUUGUUUAAUUAAUAUUAGUCAAUAAUUAAUAAGAAUUAAUUUUGUGGCUAAAAGAGAUUAAUUAAUAAAGGGGACUAGAACUGUCAAUUAUGUAUUGAGCUAAUGGACUCCAUAGAGGAUGGAGUGGACGAAUUCUAUGGGGAAACCCAUUAGAAAUCGUCCAAGGCCUCUAAGGAGGGAGUCCAUGUGUUGCUUAGGGCCUAAGCAGUCAAAUUAGGGUUUCUUUGUUAGAUAAACCUAAUAGCCUCACUAUUUAAGGACCCCUAGGGCACCAAAAACGUGGCCAACUGAUUCCUUAGGGUUUCUACAUGUUUUUGGGUGCCUCCUCUCUUAUCAUUCUUCAUCCUCUUGCUCUUAGUGUUUGUGAGCCAUAGAGGAGUGACACUUGUGACUCUAAGCUUUCUAAAGCCAUUACAAAGGAGGAUUUGAGAUUGUUAUUGAUAUAUAACAAUCAAGGUAAGAUCUAAACUCCAAUCUUAUGUUAAUAUGAUUAAUUGCAUGCUAGAUCUAGGGUUUAUAGCUUUCAAUAUUCAAUUGCAUGUUCAUUAGUCAAACUAGAUCCAAAAGCUAUUAGGGUUUGCAUGUACGCCAUAGGAAUGAUGUUUUGCUCAUAACCCAUCAGUGGUAUCAGAGCCAUGGCUAUUUGUUUGAUGUAUUUGAUGCUAUUGUGAAUUAUCCUUUCUUAAAGAUCGAAAUUUAGGGUUUCUGGGGGCUGAACUCGCCGAGUCCAUAGAUGAACUUGCCGAUUUCAUGGUGAACUCGCCGAGUCCAUGCCUGACUCGAUGAGUCAGCUGGUCAGAAAGAGGGAAAAUCGGGAUUUUGUGCUUUUUUGGCUGUGGGAUAGUUACCAAAACGUUUUUUAUUGAUAUAAAUCAGAUUUUUAUGAUAUUGGGUGAUUAUCUUUGCCAAAAUUAAAGAUAACUUCAUAUUAGUUAAAUAAUUAUUUCCUUAUAUGAUUAGAUUUAAUUAUUUGAAUUAUUUGGUGAAUUAUCUUGCAAGAAUUUGGACUAGGUCAAAUUAGAUAACCACCAAUUAAUUGUUAAUUGCCUUAUUUGAAUUUUGUGAUCUAGAAUAUUCUUGACAAAGUUUGGAAAAGUUUCAAAUUAAUCCCUUUAGGUUUUAUAGUUUAAAUUUGAACUUAAAAGUUUUGUUUUUGAAAUUUAAAUAAGUUAAACCCUAAUGUUUUGAAAUGUUUCAAAACUUGCCCUCAAGUUUUGGAAUUUAAAAGUUGAUUAAAAGUUUAAUUUAGAAAUGUUAAAUUCUAAAACCCUAGUAUUGUUUUGAAAAGUUCAAAUCACACCCUUAUGAGUUUAUUAAUUAAUUAAGGUGUAUAAUUAAAAGAGAUUUAAUAAAUCCAUAAAGUUUUGAUUUACAUUUAAUUAAAUUAAAAGUAUUAUUUAUUAAAUUAGAACACCUAGUAUUUUAAAAGUGUAAAAUACACCCUAUACUAUAUAUAACAUUAAAAGUCUAGUAUUAUAUAUGUAUGAGUAAACAGUCAGUCUUAUCGUUAGUAGGCCUCAUUAACGAAGCUAGUCUAUAAGGGGUGUUUAAGGAAAUUUCCUAUAAAAUAGCGAUUGAAUGGGUAUCCACUCUUACCCACCGCACUCUUGAGUAGUGGAAGGUCGUUAGCCGAACGGGUAGGAUAGGACAGAAACCUUCCAUUAUAAGUAUAAUGAAGUACAAAAGUAACUAAACGCUUUUACAAAAUUCCCAAUCUUAGUUACUUUAGGCCAAAGUGAAUUGAUGAAAUUCCAUGAAAUUACACUUUGUGCCCUUGCGAAGACGUUAGUUGAGCGUGUGUGGUUAACCGGCACACUAAAUGGUUCUAAGAAAAGUUAGCAAAGGGUGACUCAUUGUUUGUCAUAGUUCGGUGGAACGUGUGUGGUUAACCGACUCAUCGAAUAGGUGACUGUAACAUUAGGGGCACCAUGUAAGUUUGCAUGGUUAUUUACACCCUGUUUUGUGAUCCUCGGCAUCCCAGUCACAAAUCGAGGGGCAUAUCGAGAUUUAAACAUCCCAUUGAAAUGUUCAAUGAAUCUUAAAAGAUCUAGGAAUUUUCAAUAGAUUUAAAACUUAAAUUUAUUUUUCGUUUUUCAUGGUGGAAAUUGGUAAAUCUUCAUUUACUUACCUUCAAAUAUUCUGCAACUAGAUUACGACAUCCCUCUUAUAGGUUGUGGAGUAUUGUGUUGGAUCCUAGCCUCGAUGUUUCAUUUGGGUGUCACAUCGAGGAUCCUGAUCAACUUAACUUGAUUUUUCUCCCGUUUUGUAGACGUCAAAGUAUGACAACUAUUGUCUUCCCAAAUCCCGUGGAACAAGCUUUUCACAUGAAGAUGAUAUUCCACGAUUCGAUCGAGGAACACAAGAUCAUGAUUCACUUCCUCCACCUCCUCCUAUUGUUCUCCCUUACCCACAAGUUCAAAAGAUUGAAAAGUUCAAACUCACUCAAGCCCUUUAGGAAAGUAAACAUGACGAAAGAAAAUCAAUGUGUGCACACGUCCUAGAGAUGAAGUCACACAUUGAUAGGUUAAGAAUGUUGGGAUCUGUUGUCUGUGACGAGCUGGCUGUUGACUGGGUUAUUCAGUCACUUCCUGACUCAUAUAGUGAGUUGAUAAGAGAGUACUAUAUGAUGAACCAUGACGUAACUGUCACAACCCAAAACCAAGAACGACGGAAACGUUCUGGCGCGGAGGACGUCAUGUAAAGUAUCAUAACAGUGCAAAGUUGUAAACAAACAACAACAUCAUCCAUUGCAUUAAAAGUAAAGUUUUAAUACAUGUGUGCUCUUUCGUAGUAAUAAGACAUCAAAAUAUGUGAUCAGAAUAAAAGACGAGUCUUGUCUGCUCCGUCUUCACAAAACCUGGUUGCCAUACUUGUCUAUUUGUGACCUGAGAAUACAAGUUAUUUUGAAAGCGAGCAUCAGCCAAAAAGCUGGUGAAUUCAUAAGUAUUAAUGUGUCUUUAAUUUGUAAAACUAUGAAGUAAAGACUUGUAAACAUUUAGAGAAACAUUUGUAUAAGUAUCAAAAUGUUUGUAAGUAGUCGAAUAACGUUUGGAAACCCUAGAAAAUCCCUAUGAUUUCUACUAGUAUAAAAGUAGUCUUCUACCAAGACUUAACUGUUUUGAAAGUAACAAAGAUGGUUUUUCGCUAGAAUGACUACUAUUAACAAGAUAUAGUCUACCUCAUCGUUUAUGUGAACGUAUCACAAAAUAAAAGUAAUAGGGAAAAUAUAGCCAUAUAACUAUUACCCUUUUGUAUUAGGAUAAACACGACAUCGCGACUGCCAAAUAGUAUUAACCAUAGAAAUCCGUAGAUGUACAUUUACCUCUGUUGCUAACAGCCGGGCUUAGGAGUGUUAGAUUGCUCAAAACCCAACAAAUUUUAUGUCUAUAUAUGUAUAAAUGGUAUAUGACUAAUAUUUAGAUGACAUUCGGACGACUAACCGAUACCCUAAGGCCACAUCCCAACGAGGAAAAGGAAAUAAAGUGACUAGCCUUCCUAAGUCCUUUAAACAUUACUUAUAUAACUAUACAUAUAUGGGCAUGCAUUUGAUAAUAUAAAAGCAUAAAAGAAGUUUUGUAACACCUUUGAAAGUUUAAUACUAAGAAACGAUGACUUGAUGUUAGUUUGUAAAAUGAUUUGAAAGUAUUUUGUUUGAUAAGACAGUUUAAGUAUAAGGAAAACCUUUGUUUGAAAACACAUUUGUAAUAGAGUUUGAAAGGAAACUUACAGUAUGUAAGACAGUUUGAUAAAGAGUUUUAAACAUGUAAAAACGUUUAAGAAAGUCAUUGAUGAAAUCUGAUUGGUAAAACAGUUACCGUAUAGUAAAUCCAUUUGUAUGUUAGUUAUUAAUCACAUGUGAUUGAUAUAAUAACUAGCAUGAUUCAACUUGUAUUCCCACCCCCAUAAAACAUUUAAAAACAUUUAGAAACAUUUAAAAAGUUAAUUUAAGGGGUAUGAACUCACCUGCAGUGAGUGGUUUGUUCGGAAGUGUCGGACAAGGUGCUAGGUGUCAAGUGAGGACUUGAACACACACAAUGGUCUUAGUUAUAAUAUAAUAAACAUAUAUGUAAUAUAAUUAGUAAAUUAAUAACUAAUUAAUCACAUUAAGACACCCUAGGUCACGGAAACACUUUGAUUCAAGUGCUACAGGUACCAAAGGGUUGCACCUAAGGGUUGUAUGACAUGGAAUUGGAGUUUAUGGCCCAUGAACCACCCCUUUAUGGAGUUUAUGACCCAUGACCAUUUCCCCAUGAGUUUAGGGCCAUAAAAUCGUGGUACUAACUGACAAAUUGUGUUUUGAGGUAUUACAAGUCAUGGUUUAGCAUCCGAUGAUCAAGUCCAAGCCUUAGGAAAGCAUUAGGGGCAUAAUAAGACUACCUAGUGGAGUUUACAGCCAAAUGACCAUAUUCUUAUGUGUUCCCGGAUGUAAACUCUCUUAGGGACAUGUUUUGAUUGUUGUUUAAGGUCUUAAAUACUUCUUGGAAGGUUCAAGGUUGGCACCCAAGGCUUAGGAAGGCUUAGGAAGGUUCAAGGUUGGCACCCAAACUCUAAUAGUUUGGCCGUGAACUCCUUAUUAGGUGGUAUGUGCGGUUUUGCAACUCCAAGACUCGAGACGGUACUUCCUUCCAUCCGUUCGUUUGAAGAAUAAAUACUAAAAACACUCAAACGGACUUUGAAUUGGCUAACAAUUAUUUAGGAUGUAAUUGAAUUUUAAUUUAAGUGCUUGACUUUAAAGUUUGAACAAAUGAAAAUUCCGGUUGUCACAUCAUCCCCCCGUUAAGGGGAAUUUCGUCCUAAAAUUAAAGUUUAAGCAAUUAAAGUAGUUACAGAUAACUAAGCGAAUAGAUGAGGAUAUUUCAAUUUCAUUUGAUCCUCGCGCUCCCAUGUGAAUUCGGGUCCUCGGUUGGUAUCCCAACGAACCUUCACCAAUGGGAAGCGGCUUUGCCUUGUUCGCCUAACUUCUCGGUCCUAUGGUUACUACGGUUCUUCCACGAAAGCGAGGAUCUCAUUGAUCCCGAGCUAGUCGAGUGGGAUCACGAGAGUCCUGACGGAAAGGUAUGUUUUCAUGUUUGAGACGCGAAGGGAGAAAUGUUCGUUACUAAGUUCGUGGGGUAGGUUAAGUUGUGGAUCUUCCCUUGCCCUCUUUUACUAUGAGAGUAGAUAAGUAAGUCAUUUACAAGACAAUGACAAACUGAUCCAAGUAAGAAUGGCAUAUCCUAUUCAUUACGUUCAUGAAUACUACGGGCGUAUUCGUCGUAUCUGAGGGGUAUCACUACGGACUCGUAGUGUCCGUAUUGAGUUUGGAAGAUUGUACUCUGGACAUCCUCCUUUAAAACUCGUAACUGAUGAUAUUCGGACCUUAGAUCUAUUUCUGAAGGGUAAAUAGUUCCUUGCGGUUGGUCAACCGACUCAUCUAUGCGAGGCAGAGGGUAAUGAUUUCUAAUGGAAAUCUUGUCAAGGUCUCUGAAGUCGAUGGAAUUACGAAGCAAUCCGUCUAUCUUCUUGAAGAAUAAGACCGGAGCUCUCUAGGAUGAGAAGCUUGGUCUUUCCAUUCUAGUGCUGAGUAGUUUUUAAAAUGUCCGGAAGGUUCUUGUAUCUCCAUGGGUGUUAGACUGUAGGGCGAUCUGGUUACAGAAGUCUUAUUGGGUUCUAAGUUUGUUCGCUUGGCGAUGCGAUCACUCAUAGUCUUGGGUAGUCUCCGUCCUGAAGUUCAUAAUAGAAGAUAUACAUGGUUCAUCAAUCGCAGUCUAUUGUAUACGAGUCGUAUAUAAUUAAGAUUGAUAAGGUAGUCAGAUAACUGAUUCUUCUUUAGGCUCACAUCCCAACAAGGAAAAAAGUUAAAGUGGAAUCAUCAGUUCUAAACUUGUAAAAUGUUGAUUAUAUGUGACAACCCGAAAUUUCCAUUUUGAACAAACUAUAUCACUUCAAUAGAAGUUAUAGCAGUCAUAGUUAAUUUUCAUACUUUUUCGUGUAAGUUUGAGUAAUUUAGGGUUUACACUUCAGGAGAUAUCAGGAGAGUGGAUGCACUAGGGUUUAGUGCAACACUGUUAUUCCAACACUUUGUUAUAUGCGAAAUCAUUUCAGGAAUAAAAAUAUUUUCUGCCAAAAAUAUCUCAGGACUAUAAAUAGAAUUCUAAACCAAAUUCAUUCGAUAUUCGCAUUUCCAACUAGAGAAAAGCCAUUUUCUCUCUGACGGAUCUUCGGGUUUUUAUACCAAAACAUGAGUAACUCUUUCUAGUAGUGUUAGAAGCUUAUUAUGUGUUUAUAACAUGAUUUAGAUGGCUAAAUCACUAGAUUUAGGAGUUUACUCCCCAAGGUGUUCUUGGGCGGUAAACUCCCGAAACAAUGCCUAGACCUUCCCUUAUGAUAUUACACUACCUUGGACUUGUAUAGGAGUGUAUUAGGGACAAGAAAACAUCAAAGAAUCACCCAAGUUUAGGUGUUCACGGCCCAAGAUGAUCUUGGAUCGUGAACUCCAAAAUCAUGGACAAAAGGGUGCUUUUAUGGCACCUAAAGCCUUAGACGUUUACUAGCAAUUGUUUCCACUUAAAUCAAGGACCAAAACACAUCAAAAUCACCCCUCAAAGUGAGUUCACGGCCCUAAUAAGGUUCUUGGGCCGUGAACAUCAAAGAAGGGAACCAAAGUGUGCCUAAGGCCUUCAUAUGCUUGGGAUAAAAGUUUGAGACCUAUACUACAUGUGAAUAAGACUUGAAAGCAUCAAAAACACCCAUCCGUAAGAUUUUACGGCCGCAAACUCUAAAGGAAAUGUCCUUAAGGCCGUAAACUCCUCAAAGGGGUGUUUCUAUGCCUUAAACCCUUCCAAGGAUUUAACCACCAAGUUGGAAUAAUUCUUGGAAUCAUUUAGAACUUCAAAACACAAAAUACCAUCGAGUUUACAACCGUAAACUCCAUGUGUGAGGAUAUAUGGAGAGUAAACUCAUAUAUGGGGUCCUUUGGAACCCUAAACCCAAGUACCUUGUCCCACAAUAGCUUAGAUGCAAUCCCUAGGGCUUAAAACACUUAUAUAAAGUGUUUAUUAUGUUCUAGGAUGUCUUAACAUUAUCAAUUAGUAAUUUAAGACUAAUUGAGUGCAUAUAUGUGUGAUUAUAUGUUCAUUAGGAUCGUAGUGUGUGUACAAGUCCUCACUUGACACCUAACAAUCCUACACCGUCCAGUUCAUCCAAAUCACCAUCUACAGGUGAGUUCAUACCCCUAAUCAAUGUUUUAAAUGAUUUUAAAUGCUUUAAUGGGGGGGGGGGAAUACAAGUAGAAAACAACAUGUUAUUAAAUCAUCUAUAUGUAUUUUAUAACUGUGUUUUCAUUCAACAGAUUUCAUAUACUACAAAAUGUGAUGCAUGAAUGCUUUUCUAUCUUUAAAAUACUUUAUUAUCAAAUGUAUUACUUUUGAAAUGUUUAUCAAAAUGACAUCAAGUCACUUUUAUAUUUGUUCAAAACCCUUAAAUGUCUUACAAAACCAUUUUACAUUCUUGAACUAAACUAUGCAUAUACACUUAUAUUCUUAUAUAUGUAUUGAUGUUAUAGUUUACAUCUUUCAUUUAGUUUCUCACACCCUUGAGUAGUAAGAGUGUAUAAACCUACUUGAACAACCAAUUACCUUUCAGUAAAUUAUCAUAGGGAUAAUUUGAAGAUAUCAAACAUUAUUCCUAUUACAAGGAAUCACACAAGAGUCAGUUCAUUCAUGAGUCUACACCAGUACAUUACCUGAUACAUGAGUACAUAUACAUAUGCUUACCUGAUACAUGAAUAUGUUUACAUAUACUUACCUGAUACAUGAACACACUUACAUGAAUACCAUACAUGAACACUGUUUCAUAGGUGCAUUAUCUUGUAUUCACUUACCUGGAUACUUGUACUUAGAACUACGAGGAAGAUUUAUUCGUACCUUCUGUGUAAAUUUUCCUGCCUAUCCCUGUUCGACGGGAUGUCUAGACGAGACUAACCAUUAUGGAACCCAACUGUUAGCACCACUGGGUGAUGAACAUCUACGGAUGUCUAAGGUUAUCACUUAUCAUAGAUAGAUUGAUAUCGGAACUAACCAUUCCUCCAUGCUGCUGUUGCAACAGAGGAUGAGAUGAAAAUCUUCGGACGAUCAUUAGGUUGCCACUUAUAUUAGGAGUUGGCUACAGGACUAACCCUUCCUCCAACAUGCUGCUGCUACAGAGGACAAUUGGACCAUCUUCGGAGGUUCAUUAGGUUAUAUAUAUCGCUUACUGCGAUGGUGUGUUAGUCCUGGUAUCCAGGGAUAACACUUACAUGGUUAUAUUUUUCCUAUUUACUUUAUUUUGUGAUAUAUUCACAUAAACGAUGAGUUAGACUAAUUACUGUUUGUAGUAGUCAAAAAGAAGGAAAAACUAUCAUUUUACUUACAAAACAUUCGGGUCUUGGUAGAAGACUACAUUAUCAUAACAAAACAUUCGGGUCUUGGUAGAAGACUACAUUNNNNNNNNNNNNNNNNNNNNNNNNNNNNNNNNNNNNNNNNNNNNNNNNNNNNNNNNNNNNNNNNNNNNNNNNNNNNNNNNNNNNNNNNNNNNNNNNNNNNNNNNNNNNNNNNNNNNNNNNNNNNNNNNNNNNNNNNNNNNNNNNNNNNNNNNNNNNNNNNNNNNNNNNNNNNNNNNNNNNNNNNNNNNNNNNNNNNNNNNNNNNNNNNNNNNNNNNNNNNNNNNNNNNNNNNNNNNNNNNNNNNNNNNNNNNNNNNNNNNNNNNNNNNNNNNNNNNNNNNNNNNNNNNNNNNNNNNNNNNNNNNNNNNNNNNNNNNNNNNNNNNNNNNNNNNNNNNNNNNNNNNNNNNNNNNNNNNNNNNNNNNNNNNNNNNNNNNNNNNNNNNNNNNNNNNNNNNNNNNNNNNNNNNNNNNNNNNNNNNNNNNNNNNNNNNNNNNNNNNNNNNNNNNNNNNNNNNNNNNNNNNNNNNNNNNNNNNNNNNNNNNNNNNNNNNNNNNNNNNNNNNNNNNNNNNNNNNNNNNNNNNNNNNNNNNNNNNNNNNNNNNNNNNNNNNNNNNNNNNNNNNNNNNNNNNNNNNNNNNNNNNNNNNNNNNNNNNNNNNNNNNNNNNNNNNNNNNNNNNNNNNNNNNNNNNNNNNNNNNNNNNNNNNNNNNNNNNNNNNNNNNNNNNNNNNNNNNNNNNNNNNNNNNNNNNNNNNNNNNNNNNNNNNNNNNNNNNNNNNNNNNNNNNNNNNNNNNNNNNNNNNNNNNNNNNNNNNNNNNNNNNNNNNNNNNNNNNNNNNNNNNNNNNNNNNNNNNNNNNNNNNNNNNNNNNNNNNNNNNNNNNNNNNNNNNNNNNNNNNNNNNNNNNNNNNNNNNNNNNNNNNNNNNNNNNNNNNNNNNNNNNNNNNNNNNNNNNNNNNNNNNNNNNNNNNNNNNNNNNNNNNNNNNNNNNNNNNNNNNNNNNNNNNNNNNNNNNNNNNNNNNNNNNNNNNNNNNNNNNNNNNNNNNNNNNNNNNNNNNNNNNNNNNNNNNNNNNNNNNNNNNNNNNNNNNNNNNNNNNNNNNNNNNNNNNNNNNNNNNNNNNNNNNNNNNNNNNNNNNNNNNNNNNNNNNNNNNNNNNNNNNNNNNNNNNNNNNNNNNNNNNNNNNNNNNNNNNNNNNNNNNNNNNNNNNNNNNNNNNNNNNNNNNNNNNNNNNNNNNNNNNNNNNNNNNNNNNNNNNNNNNNNNNNNNNNNNNNNNNNNNNNNNNNNNNNNNNNNNNNNNNNNNNNNNNNNNNNNNNNNNNNNNNNNNNNNNNNNNNNNNNNNNNNNNNNNNNNNNNNNNNNNNNNNNNNNNNNNNNNNNNNNNNNNNNNNNNNNNNNNNNNNNNNNNNNNNNNNNNNNNNNNNNNNNNNNNNNNNNNNNNNNNNNNNNNNNNNNNNNNNNNNNNNNNNNNNNNNNNNNNNNNNNNNNNNNNNNNNNNNNNNNNNNNNNNNNNNNNNNNNNNNNNNNNNNNNNNNNNNNNNNNNNNNNNNNNNNNNNNNNNNNNNNNNNNNNNNNNNNNNNNNNNNNNNNNNNNNNNNNNNNNNNNNNNNNNNNNNNNNNNNNNNNNNNNNNNNNNNNNNNNNNNNNNNNNNNNNNNNNNNNNNNNNNNNNNNNNNNNNNNNNNNNNNNNNNNNNNNNNNNNNNNNNNNNNNNNNNNNNNNNNNNNNNNNNNNUCCACAUUCGCCAACUAGAGUCUGCUCAUGAAAGGACUCUGGUCCGCAAUGCAAAUCUGCAGAGGGAACUUGCUGAAACUCAAGCUGAAGUUAGGGAACUUCGAGCUCAGCAAGUGAGAGCUGACAGGCGUAUGAGGGACAUGGAACGUCUACUAUCGGGAUCAAGAACUCAUGCUAGCAGUUCUCGUCGCCGAUAGAAUCUCGUCAACUCAUCUUUUUGAUAUAACUUAGUUUAUGUAAAACUUUGGUCUAAUUUCCUGUCUUUAUAAAUCCUAGACCUGUUAGGUCUUGAUCUAGUCUUAAUCUUGUCAAAAUUUUCCAUCUUGGUUGAUGUAAGGCCUACUUCUAAGCCAUUUUUCCGGAACUUGUUACAUCUGUAAUUCUAGUAUUAUUGACAGAUAUCUAAUCUUAUGGAAAUUAUUAUCCCAACGCUGUCAUCUGCAUUUAGUCAUUCUAUUCAUUCUGUUGUUGGGCUAUGGGGAGUUAGUCCAUGAAACACAUUCAUUGUUCAUUUAUUCUUAUCCAUGUCGUCAUCUUUUAAUUGUAUAGUUAAAGAUGCCGCCACGCAGAAAUACAAGGCGUAACCUAAACAACGAAGCACCGAUACCACCACCUCCACCACCACCUGAACCUCUUCAACCACCUAAUCCUUUCGAUGCCAAUAUGUUUCAGGCAGCUUUCAUAGCAGCAGUUGCAGCUACUGUGUCAGCAAUCAACGCUCCUGCCCCUAGUGGAUCAGGAACAGGUGCACCUCCCUCGAACCACGACGAAAGCCAUGGACACCCUCGGGGAUGCACCUACAAGGACUUCACGAACGCCAAACCCCGCAGCUUCAAUGGAACUGGGGGUGUUAUGGUGUUGAGACAAUGGAUUGAAAAGAUGGAAUCCGUCUUUGAAAUCUGUGCUUGCCAGGAGGGCAACAAGGUCAAGUUUGCAGCUUAUACCUUCUCUGACAGAGCACUAACAUGGUGGAACGGCCAUGUUAACUAUCUGACUUUGGUGGUGGCGUAUUCCAUCAGCUGGGAAAAGUUAAAGGACAUGCUGAUGAAAGAGUACUGUCCUCAAGGUGAAGUACAAAAACUUGAACAGGAAUUCUGGGGUCUACAAAUGGUUGGAUACGACAUCACAAGCUACACUAAUAGGUUCUGUGAUCUGGCAAACCUAUGCCCUGAUAUGGUUGCUCUUGAGAGCAAAAAGAUAGAGAGAUAUAUCUGGGGACUGUUGCCCCAGAUCCAGUCAAUUGUGAUAGCUUCUAGGCCUAUUACCUUCGAUAGCGCCAAGGAACUGGCACAAUCUCUCAUCGAUCACCAAAAACCUCAGAACCCAACAAUCCCUACACCCAUACCACAAAAGUCCAACCCCAACCACAACAGGAAGGGGGUGGAAUAAGAGGAAAAGAGGGACUUUGCAAGGAUCCUCCAAGAAACAACAACUUGUGGCGAUCAAUGCUGCCACAGUGACUCCCAUUGUCCCUGCGAACCCCUUACCAGCAAAAACAUAUGCUGGAACCCUUCCGAAAUGCACCAAGUGUAAUUUCCACCACCACGGACCUUACAAGGAGAUGCAGUGCUCUAACUGCAACCGGAAGGGACACACAGUCCGUUUCUGCAAGAUUCCAACAGCUCAGGCCGCUCAGGUUCCUAACGCCGGUAUGGGCCAAACUUGCUACGAUUGUGGCGAAGUGGGCCAUUUCAAGUGGAACUGCCCUAAGGCGGGGAUGGCUGGAGGAGUUGGAAGAGUUAUGGCCCUAGGCCACAAGGAAGCGGUAGCUGAUCCUACGAUAGUUACUAGUACGUUUCUCCUUAAUAACUCAUAUGCUUGAAUACUAUUCGAUAGUGGAGCAGAGAAAAGUUUCAUAAGUCACACAUUUGCCCACCUGCAUAAAAAAAAACCAUGAGCGUUAGAUAGUUCAUUCACGGUAGAAAUGGCUAACGGGAAAACAGAGAGUACUAACUGCAUAUCCGUAGGUUGUACUUUAACUUUAGAUGGCCAUACUUUAAAGAUAGAUCUCAUGCCAGUCCCAAUUAAAUGUUUCGACGUUAUCACCGGCAUUGAUUGGUGGAGUCUUCUUCGCGCCGACAUCAUGGGCUUUGAAAAAGAAGUUCGUCUUAACCAUCCUAACAACGAAACCUUAAUUAUCUACGGCGACAAACCUAGUACGAGCCUUCGCAUCAUUUCCUGCAUUCAAGCCCAUAAGUGCUUGCGGAAGGAGUAUCAUGCAUUUCUCGUACACGUCGUUGAUACAAGUCAAGAAACGAAAGACAUUCAGAACAUCCCAGAAGUACGCGACUUUCCCGACAUCUUCCCAGAAGAACUUCUCGGUUUACCACCGCAACGCCAUGUCGAGUUCAAAAUCGACUUAGUGCCAGGAGCUACCCCAGUAGCCAAAUCUCCUUAUCGUCUUGCACCGGCUGAGAUGCAGGAACUUUCCAGUCAACUUAACGAACUUCUCAAGAAGGGAUUCAUACGACCAAGCUUCUCACCAUGGGGAGCACCGGUCUUGUUCAUCAAGAAGAAAGAUGGAUUAUUUCGCAUGUGCAUCGACCAUAGAGAACUCAACAAAAUUACCAUUAAAAAUCGUUAUCCUUUGCCCCGCAUUAACGAUUUAUUUGAUCAACUUCAUGGAGCCAACUACUUCUCGAAGAUAGAUCUAGGAUAUGGAUAUCACCAACUACGAGUGUUAGAGGAGGAUGUUCCCAAGACAGCCUUCCGAACUCGUUAUGGACACUACGAGUUUGUGGUGAUGCCGUUUGGAUUUACCAACGCACCCGCAGUAUUCAUGGAUCUAAUGAAUAAGGUGUGUCGUCCUUACUUGGAUCAGUUCGUCAUCGUCUUCAUUGAUGACAUACUCAUCUACUCUCGAAGUAAGGAGGAACAUAGCCAACACCUCCAUAAAAUCUUAGAAACAUUGCGGUCGGAGAAGCUCUACGCGAAGUUCUCCAAGUGCGAAUUUUGGAUACGGCGAUUCGAAUUUUUGGGCCAUGUUGUUAGCGAAGAGGGAAUACACGUGGACCCUUCCAAAAUUAAGGCCAUUGAGAACUGGUCAGCACCGAAGACACCUAUAGAAAUUUGCCAAUUUCUAUGUCUGGCUGGCUACUAUCGCAGGUUCAUUUAGAACUUCUCCCGUAUAGGAAAACCUCUUACAACCCUGACCUAGAAGGGCGUAGCCUUUGGCUGGGAAGAGAAACAAGAAAGAGCAUUCCAAACGCUCAAACGAGCCUUGUGCACCGCACCUAUACUAUCCCUCCCCGAAGGGAUAGAGGACUUCGUUAUCUAUUGCGAUGCAUCAAAUGAAGGACUCGGAUGUGUUCUGAUGUAGCGAGGUAAAGUCAUAGCCUAUGCCUCGAGACAUCUGAAGACGCAUGAGGUUAACUACACCACCGACGAUCUUGAACUAGGAGCAGUUGUGUUUGCUCUGAAGAUCUGGCGACACUACCUGUAUGGUACAAAAAGCAUGAUCUUUACUGACCAUAAGAGUCUACAACACAUUUUCGACCAGAAAGAGCUCAACAUGAGACAACGACGGUGGGUCGAGCUACUCAGUGAUUAGGAGUGCGAUAUUCGUUAUCACCCGGGUAAAGCCAAUGUAGUAGCCGACGCCCUAAGUCAGAAAGAAUAUUCUGGUCGUAGGGUCAAAUCUUUGACUGUAACUAUCCAUUUACACUUGUCCACGCAAAAUAAAAAGGAUCAGCUCGACGCUUUGAAUCCUGAAAACGUGGCUGGUGAAUACCUUAGAGGAAUGGAUAAGAACUUGGAAAUCAAGGGUGGCGGAGCCUUGUAACUCAUGGAUCGGAUCUAGACACCGGAACACGGUGGCUUCAGAGACUUGGUCAUGACGGAAGCUCACAACACUCGUUAUUUCGUCCACCCGGGUUCAGAUAAGAUGUAUCUAGAUCUUAAAAAGUUAUACCGGUGGCCUAGCAUGAAGGCAGAUAUUGCUACCUUCAUCAGUAAAUGCCUUACUUGCGCAAAAGUCCUCACUUGACACCUAACAAUCUUACACCGUCCUUUUCAUCCAAACCACCAUCUACAUGUGAGUUCAUACCCCUAAUCAAUGUUUAAAUGAUUUUAAAUGCUUUAAUGGGGGGGGGGGGAAUACAAGUAGAAAACAGCAUGUUAUUAAAUCAUCUAUAUGUAUUUUAUAACUGUGUUUUCAUUCAACAGAUUUCACAUACUACAAAAUGUGAGGCAUGAAUGCUUUUCUAUCUUUAAAAUACUUUAUUAUCAAAUGUAUUACUUUUGAAAUGUUUAUCAAAAUGAUAUCAAGUCACUUUUAUAUUUGUUCAAAACCCUUAAAUCUCUUACAAAACCAUUUUACAUUCUUGAACUAAACUAUGCAUAUACACUUAUAUUCUGAUAUAUGUAUUGAUGUUAUAGUUUACAUCUUUCAUUUAGUUUCUCACACCCUUGAGUAGUAAGAGUGUUUAAACCUACUUGAACAACCAAUUACCAUUCAGUAAAUUAUCAUAGGGAUAAUUUGAAGAUAUCAAACAUUAUUCCUAUUACAAGGAAUCACACAAGAGUCAGUUCAUUCAUGAGUCUACACCAGUACAUUACCUGAUACAUGAGUACAUAUACAUAUGCUUACCUGAUACAUGAAUAUGUUUACAUAUACUUAUGUGAUACAUGAACACACUUACAUGAAUACCAUACAUGGGUGCAUUAUCCUGUAUUCACUUACAUGGAUACUUGUACUUAGAACUUCGAGGAAGAUUUAUUCGUACCUUCUGUGUAAAUUUUCCUGCCUAUCCCUGUUCGACGGGAUGUCUAGACGGGACUAACCAUUCUGGAACCCAACUGUUAGUACCACUGGAUGAAGAACAUCUACGGAUGACUAAGGUUAUCACAUAUCAUAGAUAUAUUGAUAUCAGAACUAACCAUUCCUCCAUCCUGAUGUUGAAACUGAGGAUGAGAUGAAAAUCUUCGGACGAUCAUUAGGUUACCACUUAUAUUAGGAGUCAGCUAUGGGACUAACCCUUCCUCCAACCUGUUGCUGCUACAGAGGACAAUUGGACCAUCUUUGGAGGUUCAUUAGGUUAUACAUAUCGCUUACUGCGAUAGCGUGUUAGUCCUGGUAUCGAGGGAUAACACUUUCAUGGUUAUUUUUUUCCUAUUUACUUUAUUUUGUGAUAUAUUCACAUAAACGAUGAGUUAGACUAAUUAUUGUUUGUAGUAGUCAAAAAGAAGGAAAAACUAUCAUUUUACUUACAAAACAUUCAGGUCUUGGUAGAAGACUACAUUAUCAUAACAAAACAUUCGGGUAUUGGUAGAAGACUACAUUAUCAUAACAAAACAUUUGGGUGUUGGAUGAAGACUACAUUGUCAUAACAAAACAUUCGAGUCUUGGUAGAAGACUACAUUGUCAUAACAAAUCAUUCGGGUCUUGGUAGAAGACUACAUCUCAAACUAAUAGAAAAUAAGGGAUUUUCUAGGGCUUUUCAUACUUACAUCAACAUUUUCAUUUAAAGGUUUACAUGACUUUUAAAACAACUUUUAGUAAGCAAGACAAUGACACGUAAAUACUUAUGAAUUCACCAGCUUUAAAGCUGAUACUCUCUUUCAAAAUAACUUGUAUUCUCAGGUCAUCAGUAGACAGGUACGGUGGCCAGGUUUUAAGAAGACGGAGCAGACAAGUCUCGUCUUUUAUUUUGAUUGUAUAUUUUUGGUGUCUUAUUACAAUGAAAGAACACACAUGUAUUAAAAAUUUACUUAUAAUGCAAUGGAUGAUGUUGUUGCUUGUUUACUAUUUUACACUGUUGUGAUACUGUACAUGACGUCCUCCACCCCGGAACGUUUCCACCGUUCUUGGUUUUGGGGUGUGACAUUGUAUACCACCCCUAUGUAUACAUUCUUCAGCGAUAGAUCAACCGUAUGGAACUUUGGAUUGAACUUGACGUACAGUACGAGUGGUACUUCAGGGAGGUGUGCUGAGAUUUCUUCGGAAAGGAUUAGAAACAUGAGGUACUCCAUGAAUGAGUACCUCGGUGUUCUGGAAUGACAGCUUCGCUAGCAAGACAAUUUCGGAGAAAGAGACGUGUGCACGAAACUGGUAUUUUGCGAAUCGAAUUGACUCUAGUGGUAUAAUAAUAUCGUACAUACUUGAAAGUAAAGGCACUAGAUUUGAACAUAAGGCGUUACAGACAAAACACAACAGUGCAACCUUUAACAGAUUUACUGUACUUUAAAUUUUAUACAAGACUAUUGCUGCGAACAAGGUAUACUACAAAAGACAAGUAUACGCAGCACGAGGGUUCCGUUACUGACGGGAUCUCACAAAAGAUAAGACUCCAGUUGCACUUGUUUUAAAUAGUUUAUAAGUCUGUUACAACGAAACACCUUAAUUACAUUAACAUGGGGCCGGAGUAGUCGCUCAUGCGGCAAUGAUCGUUAGUAUUUUCCCGCUUGCGCCGGAGUUCUUUGUUAUUGGACAAUCCUUCUUUAGGUGCCCAAUUUCACCGCAUUGGUGACAUAUCUAGCUGGCACUAACAUUGGUGGUGGAAGUGAUGUGUUGGAUCGGAGUUACGUAGACGUGGGUGCUUUCGUUUUUCUUCCUUUUUGGACAAUUCCUUUUAUAGUGUCCAGUCUCACCACAAUUAUAGCAACCCUGGCUGGCUCUGGUGGUGGGGGUGGUUCCACAAGAACGGGCAACAUGCCCCAGAAUGUUGCAAUUGAUACAUUGCAAUACCCGACAGUCUCCUUUAUGAUGACAACUACACUUGUUACACUUCGGGAGUGUUCCCUUAUAUUGCUUGCGUUCCUUUUGGGCUUGACGCUUCCGUUUCUUGAACUCUGAGUUGUGGCUUCGCGAGCCUGCGACUGUUAUCGUUUGUUUGCUUCCUGGAUUGAUACCACGAUCGGGAUUUUCAACCCCUUCGUCAGCAUUGCUUGCGUUGAUAGCGUUACGGUUUGCUAGGACAACUGUCACGGCAACCAUCACUACAACUGUAACUACGGCUUGGAAGGUAGCGGUGUCCAUAGGAAGGGCAGGGGUUUCGUUGUUCGGCUGACUAUUUCCGGACGACGACAUGAUUCUGUAACACGAAAGAUAAGGAUUUUGUGAGCGAUUUUGUACUUCGAUCGCUCAAGUAAAGAGUAAGAGUAUGUUCUCGAAAGUUUGACCUACAUCCCUAUGAUGCGGUCCUAGUACGGAUUGGAAGUUUGUUGAUGAAGGUUUGACCUACCUCCCUAUGAUGCAGUCCUAGUAAAGAGUGGAAGUAUGUUCAUAGAAUGGUCUUAAGACGCUUGGCAUUUAAAACAGGGUACCGUCGGUUGGUAAAUAACAUGAUCCAACCCGUGAAAAAGAAUUGGGAAUGAUCCCUGAGCUAAAUUUCCCUAGUUCAAUAACUCGACUAGGGUGGGCUUCAAAUAGACUCCCAUGAUAGCACGAUGAAAGUAUUUGAAUAAAGAAUAACACAGAAAGGUUAUUGCCACAUAAAGGCCAAACUAAAAGUACCUACCGUACAAGGUAGUUUCAUAGAAAGAUGCCACAUAGGACAUAGAUAGGAAAAACAAUUCCUCUCAACAUGGAAAGAAAGUAAGGCAUCUGCUACUGGUGACGGUCAUCCCUCUGGUGAACUCUCAGCUCGGCCAGUUGACGUUCCAUAUCAAAUAGGUGUCUUUCGUACACCCUCUAUCGUACUCGAAGUUCUAUGACUUUGGCUCGUGAUUCUUCCAGUGCUAGAAGUAGGGUUUCAUGGUCUCUCUCAGAUCUCUCACGAGCAUCUUCCAGACGAAUGGUGCGAAGGGUAUGCAUUCUCACAUUGGUGACAACUUCUGUGAUCUGAUGUAGGGCUGUCCUGCCUUGAAUCUCAUUUUGGGCCACUCUGCUGACCAGGAUUGGCAAGAUUCUGUCUGCUGAGACCCCUUUGCUCAGGUCAUAAAAGCUGUGGUCUGCAUUAAAUGGCUUUGGCUGAUCCUGUCCUUGGCUCCAUGUUUCCAAGCAUUCUACCCAAGGAGGCGUCGGGCCAUGAAAAGUCGGACGAGGGUUAGGAUCUGGAAAGGGAGCUGCAUGGGGUAGGUUCUCAACCUCGGUUUUGGAGUUAUCAUAAUCCGAAAUGUCUUCAGCAUGGUGAUUAUUCAAAGGGACUGGAUGAUCAUUCUCGGGUUCUUUUCCAAACCAUUCAGCAUUGCCUUCAUUCGGAAAGUACGGGUUGCCGUGGGGAUGGAGUCCAGCCANNNNNNNNNNNNNNNNNNNNNNNNNNNNNNNNNNNNNNNNNNNNNNNNNNNNNNNNNNNNNNNNNNNNNNNNNNNNNNNNNNNNNNNNNNNNNNNNNNNNNNNNNNNNNNNNNNNNNNNNNNNNNNNNNNNNNNNNNNNNNNNNNNNNNNNNNNNNNNNNNNNNNNNNNNNNNNNNNNNNNNNNNNNNNNNNNNNNNNNNNNNNNNNNNNNNNNNNNNNNNNNNNNNNNNNNNNNNNNNNNNNNNNNNNNNNNNNNNNNNNNNNNNNNNNNNNNNNNNNNNNNNNNNNNNNNNNNNNNNNNNNNNNNNNNNNNNNNNNNNNNNNNNNNNNNNNNNNNNNNNNNNNNNNNNNNNNNNNNNNNNNNNNNNNNNNNNNNNNNNNNNNNNNNNNNNNNNNNNNNNNNNNNNNNNNNNNNNNNNNNNNNNNNNNNNNNNNNNNNNNNNNNNNNNNNNNNNNNNNNNNNNNNNNNNNNNNNNNNNNNNNNNNNNNNNNNNNNNNNNNNNNNNNNNNNNNNNNNNNNNNNNNNNNNNNNNNNNNNNNNNNNNNNNNNNNNNNNNNNNNNNNNNNNNNNNNNNNNNNNNNNNNNNNNNNNNNNNNNNNNNNNNNNNNNNNNNNNNNNNNNNNNNNNNNNNNNNNNNNNNNNNNNNNNNNNNNNNNNNNNNNNNNNNNNNNNNNNNNNNNNNNNNNNNNNNNNNNNNNNNNNNNNNNNNNNNNNNNNNNNNNNNNNNNNNNNNNNNNNNNNNNNNNNNNNNNNNNNNNNNNNNNNNNNNNNNNNNNNNNNNNNNNNNNNNNNNNNNNNNNNNNNNNNNNNNNNNNNNNNNNNNNNNNNNNNNNNNNNNNNNNNNNNNNNNNNNNNNNNNNNNNNNNNNNNNNNNNNNNNNNNNNNNNNNNNNNNNNNNNNNNNNNNNNNNNNNNNNNNNNNNNNNNNNNNNNNNNNNNNNNNNNNNNNNNNNNNNNNNNNNNNNNNNNNNNNNNNNNNNNNNNNNNNNNNNNNNNNNNNAUUAAAACUUUUAAUCACAAAUCAUAAAUUUCAAAACAUGAGGACAAUUUUUAAACAUCUAAAACAUGGAGGAUCAUAAACCAAAUAAUUUUAAUUAACAACUAAUUCCAUAAUUAUCCAUAUUUGAUUUAUUUAAGAUUUCCUGCAAGAUAAUUACCAAUUUAAUGAAAAUAAUUAAUUAAUUAUCAUAUAAGGAAAUUAAAUAUUUUAUUAGUUGAUAAAUAUCUUUAAUUAGAUCAAGAUUAUAGUCAUAUAUAUNUUAUAUAUAUCAAAAAUUCGGAUUAGGGUUGAUCUAAUAUGAUAAAGGCAAGUUUCCAUAAGAUAAAUAUCAAUAAAUCCCGAAUCUGGCCCUUCCUGACGCUUGGACUCGCCGAGUGCACCAUGGGACUCGCCGAGUCAGGCCAACUCGCCGAGUCCACAAUGGGACUCGCCAACUCCAUGACUCAGAAACACAAAUUUCGAAUUUUGCAAGCAAGAUCCAAACAAACAACCAACAAUUUAAUAGAAACCAAUCUAGGCUCUGAUACCACUGAUGGGUUUUGGCCAUAUGAACAUUCCUAUGUGCACAUGCAAACCCUAAUGCUUGGAUCUAGGUUUCUCUAAUUAAACAUGCUUUGAAUCCAAGACUUCUAAUGACUAAUUAGGUAUAAGAACAAUACAAAAUCAGAUCUAGAAGUUUACCUUUGAAUCUCUUGCUUGAUCUUGUUGUCUUUGAGCUCUAGAGUCACAAUUGUCACUCCUCUAAUGGCUUACAAACACCAACUAGUAAGGAGGAUGAUUUGAGUGAGAGGUUAGGGAAGAAAUUCUACCAGGGUUUUCUUUCUUUAGAAGAGAUGCUGAUUUCACAUGCUUUAAGGGUCUAUUUAUACUUGUAGGCUCCUAGGGUUUCACCCUUAAACCCUAGUUGGAUAAUCUUUACCCAAAGCAAUCCAAAUCCUUACCAAAGAUAAUGCCUUGGACGAAUUUGAGGCUAUCCCAAGCCCUAGAAUUCGUCCAUCCUCUAUCCAUGGAGGAUUUACAGCCCAAAGUGUAACUAUCAAACAAUUGACAGUUUAUACCCUCUUAUUUAAUUAAUCUCUUUAAGUCACCAAAUUAAUACUAAUUAAUCUAUGACUUAUAUUAAUCAAAUAACAAUAUGAUUAUUCCUUAUAUUAUUCUCAUAAUAUAUUAAUAAUAUUUAUUCUCUCAUAAUAAAUCAUCCUAUCAAGUUGCUAUGGUGAAGGCAACCCAAAAGGACCAUGCACAAUCGGGUCAAAUACUUGCCUAAUAUAGUUGCAGCCUUAGACACUAUUCCAACAUUAUAGGGAUUAGAUAACUUUAGAAGGAUAUGUUUAACUCUAUUGUGCAGCUCUUNNNNNNNNNNNNNNNNNNNNNNNNNNNNNNNNNNNNNNNNNNNNNNNNNNNNNNNNNNNNNNNNNNNNNNNNNNNNNNNNNNNNNNNNNNNNNNNNNNNNNNNNNNNNNNNNNNNNNNNNNNNNNNNNNNNNNNNNNNNNNNNNNNNNNNNNNNNNNNNNNNNNNNNNNNNNNNNNNNNNNNNNNNNNNNNNNNNNNNNNNNNNNNNNNNNNNNNNNNNNAUAACAUCCUAGUUACAUAUAGCCUUAGUGUAUCCACUUAGCAACUAUCAACUUAGUAAUGAAGAUCCUUUUUAGUUCUCAAGUAAGUAAUUAUGGUAACACAAAACACCCCUAUGGUAUUUUAGACUUAGGUUCUGUUAUAAUGUUCUCAUUGUGGUAAUGUUGGUAAGUUUUUAGAAUUGUAGCUACAUCACAACCAUUCUUGGGCAUAUGCUAAUCACUCCUCGGACCAGCAUAGUUGAUCAGGCUAUGCCACUCCCAAGACUGACUAUACAUCCCCAAGCUUAGUUGUGAUAUUCAACAAUUGUAAUACUUUUGUUCUUGUCGUUGUGACACCGAUUUUAGUAUGAAUGCAGGCACGUAAACUUACUUAAAUAUUUUAUUAUUUAGAAGUAUAAACUCUAACUCAGAGUAUUUUUAAUCCCAUUGUAUUUAUAGUUAGUAUAUCUUUUAUGGGUUGAUAUACUUAAUUCACUAUAAACUAUGCUCUGAUACCAAUCUGUCACACCCUAAAACAGAGAACGGCGGAAACGUUCUGGGGCGGAGGAUGUCAUGUAAUGUAACACAACAAAUGUAAAGUAGUAAACAAGCAACAACAUCGUCCAUUGCAUUAAUAGUAAUAGUUUAAUACAUGAGUGUUCUUUCAUAGUAAUAAGAUAUUACAACAAGUAAUCAAAAAUAAAAGACGAGUCUUGACUGCUCCGUCUUCGCAAAACCUGGUCAUCGUACCUGUCUACUGGUGACCUGAGAAUACAAGUUAUUUUGAAAGUGUAGGUCAGCAUUUAAGCUGGUGAGUUCAUAAGUAUUUAAUGUCAUUGUUCGUAUAAGUUUGAUGAUAACAUUUGAAAUCGUUCAAUGUAAUUGUUUGUAUAUGUUUUGAAAACUCCUAGAAAAUCCCAUAUUUUCUACUAGUAUAAAAAGUCGUAUUCUACCAAGACCAUAAUGUUUUGAAAGUAGUCUUUAACCAAAACCUGAUCGUUUUGAAAGUAUUCUUUAGCCAAAACCUAAUUGUUUUGAAAGUAGUCUUUAACCAAAACCUAACUGUUUUGAAAGUAACAAAGAUGAUUUUCCCCUUUAUGACUACUAUUAACGAUAUGUAUAGUCUACUUCAUCGUUUACGUGAAUGUAUCACAAAAUNAAAGUAAUAGAAAUAUAGCCAUAUAAGUAUUAACUUUUUGUAUUAGGAUAAACACCACAUCGCAACUGCCGAAACGUUCUCACCGUGAAUAUCCGUAGAUGGUCAUUUUUCUCUGUAGCUACCAGUAGGUAGAAGGAAUGGUUAGUUCCUUAAAUGUCUUCCUAGUAUAAGUAUUAACCGUAGACAUCCGUAGAAGUCCAUUUACCUCUGUUGCUAACAACCGGGUUUAGGAAUGGUUAGUCCCUUAUUGUUUCUUACCACAUUGUAUCUAUGUAAAAGUAUCCCUAUAAGUGUAUCCAUGUAAGAGGAAUCUCUGUAAGAGUAUCCCUUUAUAUAGCAUGUAGUUUAGACUCAUGAAUGAACUGACAUUGGUGUAAUUUCUUGUAAUAGGCAUAAUGUUUUGUAUCCCCUAAACUAUUCCUAUAAUAGUUUACUAGCAUGUAAUUGAUGUGUGUCCAAGUAGGUUUAUACACCCUUGCUACCCAAGAGUGUCGGAACUGAAUUAACUGAUGGAUCAUUUAUGACUAUAUAUGUACACAUGAUAUAUAACUAAUAUUUAAACGACCUUCGGAAGAGUACCCGAUAUCCCACCAGACCACAUCCAAAUUGAGGAAAAGGAAACAGGGUGGAUAGCCUUCCUAAGUAUUUUAAACAUUUCUUAUAUAACUAUACAUAUAUACAGGCAUGCAAUUUAUAAUAUAAAAGCAUAAAAUAAGUUUUGUAAAACCUUUGAAAAGUUUAAUAAAUAAGAAUUUAUGACUUGAUGUCAAUUUAUAAAUCGGUUUGAAAGACCGUUUGACAAGACAGUUUAAGUGUGAGAAAACCUUUGUUUGAAGCACAACUAUAAUAGAUUUAAAAAGGAAACUUACAGUUUGUAAGAUAGUUUCUAAGAGUGUUUUCAACAUGUAAAAACGUUUGUGAAAACUAUUUGAAGUACAUAUGAAAAUGUUCGUUUGUUCUUGUAUAUGAAUGUAUCUCCUUGAAAUAGUAUUUCUAAUAAGUAAAUGUUCGUGAUGUUCUCGUAAAACUAUACCUAUUAUAGUUUUCUUUAAGUGUGUCUCGUUUGUAUAGUAAUCCCUAGUAAAAUGUUCACUUGUUAUGAAAAGUAUAAUUUUUAUAGUGUCUAAGAUCGACACAUAAACAUACAGUAAUAGCAGAGUGUUUGAUUUAUACAUAUAUAACAACCUUUUCAUUUCAAAAGAUAUGAUGUUAUCGUGAUACAUUUUGCAUAUGAAAGUUUCCUUAUAAUAGUUAUAAAUCACAUAUGAUUCCAUUCAUAAAAAGUGUAUAAUGAAACUUUAUAUAACACACGAAAAUUACCGUGUAUUUUAAUUGUAUUCCCCCACUUGAAAGCAUAUAAAAUCAUUUAUAAAACAUUUAAAAGUAUGGAUUAUAGGGGUAUGAAAUCACUUGAUAGAUUGAAGAAAAGUGAGACGAAAACCGAGAAGAACUUCUACUCAAGCAAGCGGAUUUCUCGGGAUUCUCGGGAAUCUCGGGAGCGUAAAACUUCCUUCCCAACUUGGAUAUGAAAACCGGGCCUUUGGGAUGACUCCGAGGGUUGAAACGCAGAGCUUCGGCGCGAGAAAGUAUGGAAUGGAGCAAAAAUGGUUGGCACCCUCGCAUCCCUUAUAUAGUGGCUGGAGGACCUCGGUAGGCUGGGUGUACGAGAGCACGCGGGGCGUACUCAUGCGUCAUACAUGAGCGAAUCCUCGGUCGAAGCAUCAGAGCAACGUGGUUGAAUUGAGGCUGAGCAUCUGAGUACGCUGGGCAUACGAGGGUACGCUGGGCGUAACCUGGAUUGGUCCGAUUACUCGUCCUUCGGAUAAUACCGGAUUUUAAAUUUAAUUAUUUAGUAAACUUCAAAAAUUCAUAUUUUUCUCAUGCGAACUCCGUUUUCGACGUUCUUUAUAUCCACGCGAAGGUGAGACUAUGAUCUACAACUUUCGUUUAGACUCCAUCGACAAAUCUUGACUUUAUUUUUGAUAUUAUAAUUUAAUAGGUCGGAACAGGAAAAAUCCGUUAAAGUUCCAUAACUUCUUCAUCCGAUGUCCGUUUUCGUCAGACAUUUUACCGAUGCGCUUCUAUUGUUGAGAACUUCGAUUCUCAUUUAGUUUGUGUCGGCUAAAAGUCUCUCGAUCUCUAUCUCGAGUUUUUAGCUGUCUACGGAUAUAUCCGUAACUUAGAAAAACCAUAACUUCGUCAUACGAAGUCAGAUUUGGACGUUCUUUUCAUGUACGUUUACAGUUUAAUAAUAUCUAAAACUUUCAUUUAGAUACCUAAGGCUAAAAAUUAUUGUAUUGAAACUUCGCGUUUUACGUCUAUCAGUGUUGUCGGUUUUGCCGAGAAUUUUCGGUUGGUCAUAACUUCUUCAUUACAUCUCGGAUUUUAGGAUUCUUUAUAUGUAUGAAAACCUUGAAACGAUUCCUACCACUUUAUUUAACCCAAAUACGAUUUUUGGAAAAUUAAAUUUUUACCUAUAUUAGACUGGUGUUACAUUUCAUUGUCUCGAAAUAUGAGGUUGUCACAAUUACAUAAUCCCUCCUCUAAGUUAUAAAAUAGUUUUUUGGGUCCUAGCCUUAAUAUUUCAUAUUGGGUGUUAUAUUAAGGACUUUAAAUCAACUAUCUUGAAUAUCUCCCAAAAGAUGUCUAGUUCAGACAUCUAUGAUCUUCCCAAAUAUCUUGGAACUUCACUUCCUCCACCUCCUCCAAUUAUUCUCCCUAACCCACAAGUUCAAGGUCACUCAAGCCCUAUUGGCAAGGCAAGGUCUAGGUGUGAUCACAUCUUGGAGAUGAAGUCACAUACUGACAAGCCGGGAGAGUUGGGUGUCAAAGUCUUAAGAAAGUUAGUGGUUCAAUCACUUUCUAAGUCACAUAGUGAGUUCCUUUGGGACACCUAUGAAACAGACUAUGACAAGACCCUUAAUGAUCUUAUCUAUUUGCUUUGUGCUGCUAAAUCAGAAAUGAUUUAGUGUACUAGUAAAGCAAAUUUGAUUAGGAGAUCAACUUCCCAAAACUUUAUGGACAGGGACAAUAGUGACACAGGAAAUCCAGAAAAGCAUUCUCUUCCCAAUGGAAAGGGAUCGGCCAUAGUCAACUCGGUUGACCAAAUGGUAAAGAGAAAGGCUAAGUCUGAGAUAGUCCCAUGUACUAUUACCUAAGGGUCCAUAUGUUCCUAUUGCCAACAGGAAAGGGUAUUGGUUGCGAAGCUGUCAAUUUUACCUGAAAGAUCAUAAGGCUAGUAAAGUCAAUAAGUUUGACUCUAUUUCAGGUAUGGUCCACUAUCUAACUCAGUUAAGUUUCUAUUCUGAGAUAAUUAUUACAAGAUGCGACUGGGUCACAUGUUGAUGUUUAAGAAUCAAAGGAAAAGAGAAGGAAACUUAAAGAAAGAGUAUGUUGAAUCUGAUCGCGAAGAUGGAUUUCUAUCGGUUGAUUUAAGAUUGGAUUCUUGAGCUACUCUUAGGAGUUAUGAUAGAUUGCUAGGAAACAAGUAAUUACAUAGUUUUCAUUUCAAGUUACAUUGUAAGGAAAAAGUUUUUUCCACAUUUUAAAAUAAAUAAAAGUUUGUUUUACUUUAUUUUUAUCUCCUUACAAUGGCAUUCAUGAAAACUUGAUGUUUGUAUGUUUAUAGCAAUAUUGGAAAUAUGAAUUUGAUUCGUUCAUUUGUGGUAGUGUCUAAAUUUACCAAAUAAGGAAAGAUUCUCAUCACGAAAGUUUCAAUUGGACCGAAGCUUGGAAUCAUGCAAGUUGUAUAGUAUGAUGAAUGAGAACUUUUGAGCAUUAGAAAAUUAAGACUAACUACUUGUUCACAUGGAUCUAUGAGUCAAGAGAAGGACUAAGGGAUCAAGUACACUUUCUUAUGCACUUGUAAAAUUCCACCACAAAAGAUAGAUAACACUAUUCGUCAUGAUUUACUAAGGUUUAGUAAAUAUGAUUAUACAUACAAGCUUAAGUAUAAUUCUGAAACAUUGGAAAAUUUUCAAUGUAUGACAGAACGAAUAAGAAGAAUCAAAUUAGGCAGAAGGAUAAAAGUUUCUCAAAUAUGAAAAGAUGGGAUAGUACUUUAGUAUCAUGUUGUAAGGUCAUCUUAAUAAUUUUGAGACCUUAUCACAAUUCAUCCUCUAAGUACAUUCUGAUAGUUAAGAAGAGGAGUUAUAAAUUGUUGAAGUGGUUAACUCAUGAAGAUGAUUCAUACUUCAUUCGAAAAUAAUUCAUAGAGUUAUACUCUAAGAUUGUAACUUGAGUGACAUGUCUUAAAAAACGUUUAAAACCCUUGUCAAAUAUAAGAGUAAAAGUUUUCUACUCUUGUACAUUUGAAAUUGGUAAGUUGUGAUGUUUUGGAUAAAACAAAGACCAACUAAGGCUAAUUGUGUUAUGUGUCUAUCUUGAUUAGAAUCCACACUAUCUCUUGAAUAUUUGGCAAAAUUCGUAUAGGUCAAGGAGACAGCGGGAGUCUAAAAGAUCCUGAAAAAGGUUUCAAGAAGUAAUCAAGAAUAAAACCUGUAUUUCAUCGUAGCACAGAAGUAGAGGUUUAUAAUCUAUCGUGCUGACAUUUUUGUACCCAUUCCAGUUAAGUUAGCUAUACAUUUGAGUUCUAUAUGUUCUCAAUUGUUUGCAUAACUACUUGGAAGCAAAGGCAUGCCCUUGAGCUGCCAAGUGGCAAGAAGUUAGGAUUGCACAAGUUCAAUACAUAUGAGUUUGGAUUUGUCAUUAUCCUUGUCUUGUGACUAUGGUUUUGACAAUUCACAUGGAUAAGAAAACAUACACCAUUAAGUUUAAGUUUCAUAAGGUUUCUCUUCGAUUCAUGAAAAUGAUGGUAAGGAAACUCUUUCACUAAGUAGAUUUUGAGUAGAUAACAAUUGUGGGAAUGACAAAAGGUCUAAACAUUAUGAUUACAACAUCCCUCUUAAUAAUUCUUUAGACACACAUGUGAGCAAUCUAGUAUCAUAAAUCUAAACUUUGGUAAGAAAGUCAAUAAAGUAUUGAUUUCUAGAAGUUCAGUUGAUUUUUGGGUACAUGUCAAAGCUAGUGGGAGCAUAAGUGUUAUGCUAAUAAUCAUCAUGUUAGUGGGAGCAUGAUAAUUAUGAUAAGUAUUGUGUAACACUCGUGUUUCUAGCCUAGGCAUUUAUAUUGAGGUGAUAGUCUAGGUUAACCGUUAUAACUCAUUUUGAACAAAUGAAAAGGAAUUAUGUGAAUUAUGUGUUUUAUGCUUAAUUAUUUGGGCUUAAUUAAUUAAGAAUAAAAAUAAGUGUCAAAAUUAAAGUGUGAGAUAAUCCCGAUAUCUUUACAUAAAGUUGUGUGGUCGAAACAAGGAUUUCGGGGAUAUAAAGAAUACCAAAAUCCGAGUUAUAACGAAGAAGUUAUGACCUGUCGAAGUUUCGCAACAAAACCGGCACGGUGCUGAAUAUCGUAAAAAGUGAGUUUUUGGUAAACUACUUUUUAGCCUUAGUGAUCUAAACGAAAGUCGUAGUAUUCGUUAAUCCGAGAAGUUCUAUAAAAAGAACGCCCAAAUCUGACUUCGUAUGAGGAAGUUAUGAUUUUUCGAAGUUUCAGCUUAACAAUAGACAUCUACAAACUCGAAUUUUAGAUCGAGCAAUUUUUAGCCGACACAACCUAAAUGGGAAUUGAAGGUCUCGUCAUUAGGAGCACAACGGUAAAAAGUUUGACAAAAAUGGAUGUCGGAUGAAGAAGUUAUGAAUUUUUAACGGAUUUCCUCUCCCGGUCUGUAAAAAAUAAUAAUAUAAAAUUUAAAGUCAAAAUUAGCUGACGAAGUCUGAACGGAAGUUGUAGAGCGUAAUUUUAGCUAUGUGUGCAUAUAAAGAACGUCAAAAAUGGAGCUCGUAUGCGAAAGUUAUGGAUUUUAGAAAUUUUGGCGCGAAAAUCAAGAAAAUUCACAUAGUCACAUUUUUCCAUGUCACCUUCGUUGAAAGAGUGCCACGUGUCCUGCUGGGUCACCAAGCUGCUGAGUCACCAAGCUGCUGAGUCACCGAAGCUACUGAGUCAUGCGAAUCCACGUGUCAGAUUCUGAUUUGACCGAAGGGAGGUCCAAUCCGAGGCUCGCAUCUGGACCGAACCUCGCAUCGCCUAGCACCGAGCCUCACACAUAGGUUAUGACUCCGUCGUCCAAUCAGCGAGUGCCACCGAGACCCUCGCACGUGCUAACCACCUGCGCACCGGAGCUGACUUUGGACACACGCUUCGGACCAAUCACAAGAAGCCAACAGCCCCUUCGCACAUGCUACCCACAUGCGAGCCACCCCCUGCGAAGCCUCUCUGCCGUCGGAUCAGGAGCUUCUCAGCCGUUGCAUCAGGACUUCGCACCCUAUAAAUAGAAGGGUACCUGCGAAGCCUCUUGGUUACUUUUGGAAUUUUGCCAUAUUUAGCCCCUUUCUUCAUAUUUUCUUGAUCUUAGAAUCCCCUAAAGCCCCAGUAUCGAUUAUAAGCCCCGGAAUACGCCACGAAGUGCCCGAGAAGCCCAGAAAAUUUAUCUUUUCGAUUUCAAAGCCCGACUUUUGCAAAGCUCGGUUUCUCAAUAAAACUCCCAAUUUUAUUAGAAACGAUCGUUUUAGGAAACGAAUUGCUGCCUGAUUAUCAUCAAAUCAUCUGAGUGUAUAGUCACUUUCAUUUUACACAUAGAUAUGAAGUAUUUACCUUAUAAUAAGUGAUAUGUGUAAAUAUAUUAAUUGUUUAUUUGAGGUGAUUGUUGUGUUGAUGUUUUAUACAAGUUUUAAACUGUAUAAGUAUUUUUAUCUACAAAUAUGUUGGGUAGAACAUGGGUAGAUAGUGAUGUGUGAUAAAAUAAAAUUGAUGAGAGGCCUCGAUGUGUUUUGAGAUCCAGUCAUCUAGCGGAGUUUGGAUGACGACCACGGACUUUCUAGACAGUCCAGUGGGAAACAUUAGCAGGUCCGCAACCUGUAGGUGUUAACGAACUAAGAGUGUUCAUUCGCUGUACUCCAUCCCCCUCAUGGUUGCCUUUAGGACAUGUAUGGCUGAGGAAACCCCUUAGCAGUAGUGUCCAUCCCGAUGAUAUUCUUUAGGCUAGGUCCCUUGUGAAAAGUGUUUAGGGAUGUAAAGUGAGGAUAACAGGAACGGGUAAUCAGGGUUAUUGUUGAUUGGUGAACUUAAUAAGUUUAUUAUUAUUGUGGGUUGAAAACCCUAUAUGCUCACCAGGCUCCCAAGCCUGACCCACUCAGCUUUUUAUGUUACAGGUAGUGGACCCCGAGCAUAGUCGGAGGACGACGAGAGAUUUUUGGAUUAUAGGCCAGUAGUUGUAAAUAACUGUUGAAAGGCUUAUAAUGUCUUGUUUAUGCUUUUGAUCUGUAUCGGAACAUGACAUCCCGAGGUUUUGAUAUAUAUAUAAAAUAUAUACCUUCUUAAUGAAGGGUUUUGAUAAACUUUUAUCAUAUGUUGUUUGGGGACCAAUUCCGCAACAUCUUUUAAAAAGAUUUCUCUGAUUUUAUUUUAAAAAGCAUAAAUUAAAUCGGUCUUUUCUGGCCGAGAAAUUAGGGGAUGUCACANCUGUUGAAAGGCUUAUAAUGUCUUGUUUAUGCUUUUGAUCUGUAUCGGAACAUGACAUCCCGAGGUUUAUAUAUAUAUAUAUAUAUAUAUAUAUGGAAAAUAUAUACCUUUUUAAUGAAGGGUUUUGGUAAACUUUUAUCACAUGUUGUUUGGGAACCAAUUCCGCAACAUCUUUUGAAAAGAUUUCUCUGAUGUUGUUGUAAAAAGCAUAAAUUAAACUGGUCUUUUUUGGCCAAGAAAUUAGGUGAUGUCACAUAUUGCAAGUUAGCAAUGUUAAUUAUAGAAAACAAAAGUUUCAAUUUGUGAGGUUGCAAGGGUUGAAAAAGUUGUUUUGCUAUAAUUAAGGGAGAGGAAAUUAUACUUCAUCUCAAAUCUAAAAGCUUAGAUUGAGGUCUUAAUCGUAUUUAGUCAAGAAUAUAUAUGAAUUUCAUGUUGGGAUGGCUCAACAUAAGGAAAUUCUAUAUAUGGAUUCAUUAUUUCCAUUCUAAAAUUCGAUUAUGAUUACGGCAUCCCUUUUCAUAAUCUGAAUUAUUAGAACAUGGCAAAUAGAAAUGGAAAUAUUAUAGCAAAAUACUGGUUUAGUCUUUAUGUGAGACAUCAUGAAUCGUGUCCCAUAUGCUUCGGAUAUAGGUUCGAUUACAUGUGCUAUAUUCACUCUUUCUAAGGUUUUCCAAAUGCCUGGGGCAUGAAGAAGGGAAAAAGGUCUAGAAAUUGAUAUGACUAAAAUUAUUAAGCACUUGUUGAGGACAAUCUAAGUUUUACCAAAGAUUGUUUUCUCAAGGACAGUUGGAAGUAUAGUAUUAAUUCUGGAAGGACCNNNNNNNNNNNNNNNNNNNNNNNNNNNNNNNNNNNNNNNNNNNNNNNNNNNNNNNNNNNNNNNNNNNNNNNNNNNNNNNNNNNNNNNNNNNNNNNNNNNNCACGUUUCUACUACUAUCUAAUCUAUGCUAAUAUCAUCCUUCAGCGCAAUACUCUUAGCAUUCUGCAAGUGCUUAAACCUACUCAGUCCCUUCGUAAGUGGAUCUGCUGGGUUAUCUUCUGAUGAUAUCCUCUUCACUACGACUUGUCCUUCUUUUACACGAUGUCUAAUACAGUGAUAUUUUAUGUCGAUAUGUCUAGAUCUACCAUGAUCCCUCGGUUCCUUGGUCAAGGCAACCGCUCCUUCAUUAUCACAGAAAAUCUCCAUGGGCUCCUUUAUGGCAGGUACAACUCCAAGAUCACUGAUGAAGUUCUUCAACCAUAUUGCCUCCUUCGACGCUUCGCUCGCUGCAAUGUACUCUGAUUCGCACGUUCAAUCAGCUACGGUUUCUUGUUUGGAACUUUUCCAAGUCACUGCUCCUCCAUUCAGGGUAACGACCCAGCCUGACUGCGAACGGUAGUUGUCCCUGUCGGUUUGAAAGCUGGCGUCACUAUACCCUCGCACCUUCAAGUCAUCACUCGCUCCAAGGACUAAGAACCAUUCCUUCGUCCUCCAAAGGUACUUAAGGAUAUUAUUAACCGCAAUCCAAUGAGCUCUACCAGGGUUCCCUUCAUAUCUGCUAACCAUGCUCAGAGCAAAGGCUACAUCAGGGCGAGUACAAGUCAUAGCGUACAUGAUUGAGCCAACUGUGGAAGCGUAUGGUACUCGGCUCAUUUCUGCUAUUUCGGCUUCGGUACUCGAACUUUGAGUCUUACUCAACUUGGUAUUACUCUGUAUCGGUAAUUCUCCCUUCUUCAAGUUUUCCAUACUAAAACGUUUUAGUACCUUCUCUAAGUAAGUGUUCUGACUAAGUCCUAUUAUUCUUUUACUUCUUUCUCUCACUAUCCUUAUUCCCAAAAUAUAGGAAGCCCCUCUGAGGUCCUUCAUAGCGAAGCAGUUCCUGAGCCAGGACUUAAUCUCCUGCAGAGUCGGGAUGUCGUUUCCUAUGAGUACUAUGUCAUCGACAUACAAAAGAAGGAAGCUUACUAUACUCCCACUAGCUUUGACAUAUACACACGAUUCAUCUUCGCUUCGUGCAAAUCCAAACUCUUUGACUUUCUCAUUGAAGCAAAGAUUCCAUCUGCGAGACGCUUGCUUAAGUCCAUAAAUGGACUCCUCAAGUUUACACACUCUAUUUGGAUGCUUCGGAUCCACAAACCCCUCUAGCUGAGCCAUGUAAACAUCCUCAACCAACUUCCCGUUAAGGAAAGAGGUCUUGACAUCCAUUUGCCAAAUCUCAUAAUCAUGAAAUGCGGCAAUAGCUAGCAUCACUCUAAUAGAUUUUAUCUUCGCAACUGGUGAGAAGGUCUCAUCAUAGUCAACUCCGGGAGUUUGAGUAAAGCCCUUCGCAACCAAUCGUGCUUUAUAUGUGUGUACGUUUCCAUCCACGUCGGUCUUCUUCUUGAAGAUCCAUUUGCACCCAACGGUCUUACGUCCGGGCACAUAAUCAACCAAAUUCCAAACUUGGUUAUCAUACAUGGAUUGGAUCUCGCUAUCCAUUGCCUCUUUCCAUUUUGCAGACUCCGGGCCUGCCAUGGCUUCCUUAUAGCUAUUAGGUUCAUCAAGAUUUACUAGUGUACCAUCACUAAUAUACGUGUCCCCUUCGGUAGUAAUAUGAAAACCAUAAAACUGGGGUUGAACUCUAACUCUAUCGGAACGUCUAAGAGGUAAGGAUUCGUCAAUUGGUUCAACCGGAGUUUCCUCCUCGGGUUGAGUGCCAGUGGUAGAGGUUCCCUCAUCUAUCGACUCUUGAAUCUCUUCAAGCUUGAUUUGCAUCCCACUGUCUCCUUGGUCUAUGAGUUCUCGCUCUCGGAAAACUCUUCUCCUCGCAACAAAGANNNNNNNNNNNNNNNNNNNNNNNNNNNNNNNNNNNNNNNNNNNNNNNNNNNNNNNNNNNNNNNNNNNNNNNNNNNNNNNNNNNNNNNNNNNNNNNNNNNNGAUCGAACUACGUCUAGGUUCAACCAUACUCGCUCACAAAUUCAUGCUUUUUCCAUGUAACAGAAUCAUGUCUCCAAAGAAAAACGAUCAACCCACCAACCAAACACCAACUCUUCAGAUUGAUGCAGCUACCUUUCAAGUUGCAGUCUCGGCUGUCGUGUCAACUGUUCUGACCCACCUUAAUGCUAACAAAGUGAAUGUUAGCGGGAUUAUUAACAAUAAUUCCAAUCCAAGUAACAAUCAAGUACCUCAACGAGCAACAAACUACCAGGACACCCCGAAUCACAAGCCCAAGAAUAACAAAUGAAAGUUCUGGGCUAAGGCUAAAGGCAAAUCACCCCAAGGGGGCGAGCAAAAGACAACAACCGGUGGCAACCUUCGCAACCACGACUUCUGUACCUCCUACUACCAUCCCUUCUAGUAUCCCAGUUAUCCCUAAUCUGGCCAGACAGUAUGCUAGCAAUCUCCUAAAGUGCAACAAAUGCAACUAUCACCAUCAUGGACCUUGUCGGAAAAUGCAGUGCUUAAACUGCAAUAAAAAGGGACACACCGUCCGUUACUGCAAGAAUCAGAUCCAACACAUUACUUUAACCACCAAUGUCGAACUCUCUCGAAUAUGCCAUCUAUGUGGCGUAAUGGGACACUUCAAGAGGGAUUGUUCAACAUAGAAGAACAACGACAAAUCCAUAGGAGUUUGACCUCAGAAUGGAAAGAGGCAACGAAGGACCCUACUAUAGUUAAGGGACCCUCGUGCUGUGUCUACUUGCCUUUUGUAGUAUACUUUGUUCGCAGCAGUUCUCCUGUAGUUACUCUAAAGUAUUGUAACUCUGUUAGCAGUUGCACUGUUGUGUUUUCUCUAUAAUGCCUUUAUGUUCAAAUCCGAUAUCUUACACUUCUAAGUAAGUCCAACAUUAUCAUACGAAUGGAGUCAAUUCGAUCCGCACAAUACCAGUUUCAUGCGUACGUCUCCUUCUCCGUAAAUGUCUUUCUAGCGAAGACGUCAUAAUCAGUAUGAAUUGGUUGAGUCUACAUCAAGCCGAUACCAAGCACUUUGGGAAAGCAAUUCAUCUUAACCUCCCUAUCAAAGAACCUCUUGUUACUUACGGAGACAAAUCAAGUACGAACCUACGCAUUAUUUCGUGUAUUUAAGCUCAAAAGCACUUACGAAGGGAAUAUCACACAUUCCUUGCACACAUCGUCGAUACGAGCCAAUAAGUGAAGGACAUUCAGAACAUCCCAAAAGUACUCGACUUUCCCAACACCUUUCCAAAAGAACUAUCGGGAUUACCACCACAACGUCAAUUCGAGUUCAGAAUCGACUUAGUUACAAGGGCUACCCCAGUAGCCAAAUCACCUUAUCGUCUAACUCCAACUAAGAUACUGGAACUUUCCAGAAAGCUUAACGAACUCCUCAGAAGACGAUUCUAUAGGCCAAGUUUCUCACUUGGAGGAGCACCGAACUUGUCUAGAAAGUGCGUUCCUAAUGCUAAGUAAGCCUGGGGCACCGCACCGAUAUUGUCCCUCUCAAAGGGGAUAGAAGAUUUCGUUGUGAAAGGUGAUGCAUCCAACCAAGGGCUUGAUUGCAUUCUUAUACAAGAGGAAAGGUCACUGCCUAUACCUCAAGACAGCUUAAGACGUAAGAAGUUAACUAUACAACACAUGAUCUUGAGUCAGGAGCAACGGUAUUUGCUUUGAAGAUCUAGAGUCACUACUUGUAGGGUACAAGGUGUACUAUUUUCACAGACCACAAAAACAUUCAACAUAAAUUCGACCAAGAAGAGUUAUCACACCAGUGAAGUCAAAUAAAUAAAACAAAGUUGUAUCCCGAUAGUGAAAGGCUCGCUAGAAUGCCAAGCGAGGACCUGAGUUCACCUGGGAACGCGAUCAUCAAAUAGAACUUAUAUCCGUAGCGUAGUAUCAAUUCUGCUUAAACUCUAAUUUUGGGACGAAAUUCCAUCUAACGGGGGGAUGAUGUGACAACCCAAUAUUUCAAGACAAUGAAAUGUAACACCAGUCUAAUAUAGGUAAAAUUUUAACUCUCCAAAAAUCGUAUUUGGGUUAAAUAAAGUGGUAGGAAUCGUUUCAAGGUUUUCAUACAUAUAAAGAACCCUAAAAUCCGAGUUUUGACGAAGAAGUUAUGACCAACCGAAAAUUCUUGACAAAACCGACAACACUAAUAGACGUAAAACGCGAAGUUUCAAUACAAUAAUUUUUAGCCUUAGGUAUUUAAAUGAAAGUUUUAGAUAUCAUUAAACCGUAAACGUACAUGAAAAGAACGUCCAAAUCUGACUUCGUAUGAGGAAGUUAUGAUUUUUCUAAGUUACGGAUAUAGCAGUAGACAGCUAAAAACUCGAGAUAGAGAUUGAGAGACUUUUAGCCGACACAAACUAAAUGACAAUCGAAGGUCUCAACAAUAGAAGCGCAUUGGUAAAAUGUCUGACAAAAACGGACGUCGGAUGAAGAAGUUAUGGAACUUUAACGGAUUUUUCCUGUUCCGACAUAUUAAAUUAUAAUAUUAAAAAUAAAGUCAAGAUUUGCCGAUGGAGUCUAAACGAAAGUUGUAGAUCGUAGUCUCACCUUCGCGUGGAUAUAAAGAACAUUGAAAACGGAGUUCGUAUGAGAAAGAUAUGAAUUUUUGAAGUUUACUAAAUAAUUAAAUUUAAAAUUCGUUAUUAUCCGAAGGAGGAGUCAUCAGACCAAUCCAGGUUACGCCCAGCGUACUCGGAUGCUCGGCCUCAAUUCGUUCACGUCGCUCCGAUGCUUCGACCGAGAAUGCGCUCAUGCAUGACGCAUGAGUACGCCCCGCGUACUCUCGUAUGCCCAGUGUACCGAGGUCCUCCAGCCACUAUAUAAGGGAUGCGAGGGUGCCGGCCAUUUUUGCUCCAUUCCUUCCUUUCUCGCCCCGAAGCUCUGCGUUUCAACCUUCGGAGUCAUCCCAAAGGCCCGAUUUUCAUAUCCAAGUUGGGAAGGAAGUUUUACGCUCCCGAGAUUCCCGAGAAUCCCGAGAAAUCCGCUUGCUUGAGUAGAAGUUCUGCUCGGUUUUCGUCUCGCUUUCUUCAAUCUAUCAAGUGAGUUCAUACCCCUAUAAUCCACACUUUUAAAUGUUUUAUAAAUGUUUUUAUAUGCUUUCAAGGGGGGAAUACAAGUAAAACACACGAUAAUUUUCGUGUGUUAUAUAAAGUUUCAUUAUAAACUUUUUAUGAAUGGAAUCAUAUGUGAUUUAUAACUAUUAUAAGGAAAUUUUCAUAUGCAAAAUGUAUCACGAUAACAUCAUAUCUUUUGAAAUGACAAGGUUGUUAUAUAUGUAUAAAUCAAACACUCUGCUAUUACUGUAUGUUUAUGUGUCCAUCUUAGACACUAUAAAAAUUAUACUUUUCAUAACAAGUGAACAUUUUACUAGAGAUUACUAUACAAACGAGACACACUUAAAGAAAACUAUAAUAGGUAUAGUUUUACGAGAACAUCACGAACUUUUACUUAUUAGAAAUACUAUUUCAAGGAGAUACAUUCAUAUACAAGAACAAACGAGCAAUUUUAUAUGUAUUUCAAAUAGUUUUCACAAACGUUUUUACAUGUUGAAAACACUCUUAGAAACUAUCUUACAAACUAUAAGUUUCCUUUUUUAAAUCUAUUAUAGUUGUGCUUCAAACAAUGGUUUUCUCACACUUAAACUGUCUUGUCAAACAGUCUUUCAAACCGAUUUAUAAACUGACAUCAAGUCAUAAAUUCUUAUUUAUUAAACUUUUCAAAGGUUUUACAAAACUUCUUUUAUGCUUUUAUAUUAUAAAUUGCAUGCCUCUAUAUGUAUAGUUAUAUAAGAAAUGUUUAAAAGACUUAGGAAGGCUAUCCACCCUGUUUCCUUUUCCUCGAUUUGGAUGUGGUCUGAUGGGAUAUNGAUUUGGAUGUGGUCUGGUGGGAUAUCGGGUACUCUUCCGAAGGUCGUUUAAAUAUUAGUUAUAUAUCAUGUGUACAUAUAUAGUCAUAAAUGAUCCAUCAGUUAAUUCAGUUCCGACACUCUUGGGUAGCAAGGGUGUAUAAACCUACUUGGACACUCAUCAAUUACAUUCUAGUAAACUAUUAUAGGAAUAGUUUAGGGGAUACAAAACAUUAUGCCUAUUACAAGAAAUUACACCAAAGUCAGUUCAUUCAUGAGUCUAAACUACAUGCUAUAUGAAGGGAUACUCUUACAGAGAUUCCUCUUACAUGGAUACACUUAUAUGGAUACUCUUACAAAGAUUCCUCUUACAUGGAUAUACUUAUAUAGAUACUCUUGCAGAGAUUCCUCUUACAUGGAUAUACUUAUAUAGAUACUCUUAUUACAGAGAUUCCUCUUACAUGGAUUAACUUAUAGGGAUACUUUUACAUAGAUACUAGGUGGUAAGAAACAAUAAGGGACUAACCAUUCCUAAACGCGGCUGUUAGCAAUAGAGGUAAAUGGACAUCUACGGAUGUCUACGGUUAAUACUUAUACUAGGAAGACAUUUAAGGAACUAACCAUUCCUUCUACUUGCUGGUAGCUACAGAGGAAAAUAAACAUCUACGGAUAUUCAGGGUGAGAACGUUUCGGCAGUUGCGAUGUCGUGUUUAUCCUAAUACAAAAAGAUAAUACUUAUAUGGCUAUAUUUUCCCUAUUACUUUUAUUUUGUGAUACAUUCACGUAAACGAUGAAGUAGACUAUACAUAUCGUUAAUAGUAGUCAUAAAGGGGAAAAUCAUCUUUGUUACUUUCAAAACAGUUAGGUUUUGGUUAAAGACUACUUUCAAAACAGUUAGGUUUUGGUUAAAGACUACUUUCAAAAUAGUCAGGUUUUCGUUAAAGACUACUUUCAAAACAUUCAGGUCUUGGUAGAAGAUGACUUUUUAUACUAAUAGAAAAUAUAAGUUUUUCUAGGAGUUUUCAAAACAUAUACAAACAAUUACAUUGAAUGAUUUCAAAUGUUAUCAUCAAACUUAUACGAACAAUGACAUUAAAUACUUAUGAACUCACCAGCUUAAAUGUUGACCUACACUUUCAAAAUAACUUGUAUUCUAAGGUCACCAGUAGACAGGUACGAUGACCAGGUUUUGCGAAGACUGAGCAGUCAAGACUCAUCUUUUAUUUUUGAUUACUUGCUGUAAUAUCUUAUUACUAUGAAAGAGCACUCAUGUAUUAAACUAUUACUAUUAAUGCAAUGGACGAUGUUGUUGCUUGUUUACUACUUUACAUUUGUUGUCAUACAUUACAUGACGUCCUCCGCCCAGAACGUUUCCGCCGUUCUCGGUUUUGGGGUGUGACAGUAAUCCAAGCUAUAAAAUAUUUGAAGGUAGGUGAAUGACGAUUCACCAAUUUCCACCAUGAAAAACGAAAUAAUUUAUUAGGUUUUAAUUGGAUUUGAAACUCCUAGAUCUUUUGAGAUUCAUUGAACUUUUCAAUGGCAUGUUUCGAUCUCGAGUAUGCCCUUCAGGUUUUGUGACUGGGAUGCCGAGGAUCACAAAACAAGGUGUGAAGUAACCAUGCAAAUUACUUGGUACCCUUAAGUGUUUACCCCUCAAUCGAUGUGCCGGUUAACCACACACGCUCCAUCGAUACUAUGAUAAACAUUAGGUUACCCUUUGCCUACCUUGUUAAAUACGAGUUAGUGUGCCGGUUAACCACACAAGCUCUACUAACCGACAUAAACAAAGUUCAAAGUGUAAUUUCUUGGAUUAGCACCUUAUUCACAUUUACCUAAGUAACUAAGAUUGGCUACUUAUAUAAGGUUUAGUUACUUAGUAUUUAUCAUUAAUACUUUUAAUGAAGGUAGAAUUAUAGUCCUUGUCCUACCCGUUCGGCUAACGACCCUCCACCGGUUAAGGAAGCGGUGGGUGAGAGUGGACACCCAUUAANNNNNNNNNNNNNNNNNNNNNNNNNNNNNNNNNNNNNNNNNNNNNNNNNNNNNNNNNNNNNNNNNNNNNNNNNNNNNNNNNNNNNNNNNNNNNNNNNNNNNNNNNNNNNNNNNNNNNNNNNNNNNNNNNNNNNNNNNNNNNNNNNNNNNNNNNNNNNNNNNNNNGUGAAUGAGGCCUACUAACGGUAAGACUGACUUUACUCUUAUACAUAUAUAUAAAUAUUAUUAACUUAUAAUAUUAUAAAGUAUAAGGGUUGAAUUUUAACUUUUAAAAUUAUAAGGUCUAGUUUGGAAUUAAAGUAUACAUGGGGGUAACUUUACAAAUUCCAAAACUUGAGGACAAGUUUUGAAACCAUUCAAAACUCUUGGCUUUUUCAUAACUUAUGAGUUUAAUUAAGUUUUAAUGAAAAAAAAUUCAAGUUCCAUAACUUGAGGACAAGUUAUGGAAGACAUUAAAUCUUUUAAUGAUGACAUUAAAAAUAAAGACUCUUCUGUUUUCAUAACCUAUGAGACUUAAUGACUCUUUAGAAAAAAAACUCUUCACUUUCCAUAACUUGAGGACAAGUUAUGGAGUUCAUAAAAGAUCAAAUAUUCCAAUUAACACGAUAAUCAAAUAAUUUUUCAAUGAUCUAGAUUAAACUCAUAAGUAAAGAUAAUUCACAUCAACAAUUUUCAAGAAAUUAGAUAAUCAUAUAAACUAAUACAAAUCAUGAAAAUUUGACAAUUAUCCUUUGAAGACUUUUGGACUUCAUAACCUAAAGAGUUAAUAAAUGUGACAUUUCACAUCCAUAACUUAUGCAAGUUUUAAAACUCUUAAGAUCAUAACUUUAAAAAAAACUUUUGAGUUCAAAAUUUUAUGACAAAAUUUGUAACUCCUUAAAACCACUUAGAUAAAAAUUUUAAAACAAAUAAAAUAAUCAUAUCAUUCUAUCUUUUAAUAAAUUGACCUAAUUCAACUCUUGUAGUAAAGUGACUCAAGUUUUACAAAUAAUUAGUUUUUCAUAAAAUCAAGUAAUUAUCAGAAAAUUUGACAAACUUCAUGUUUUUUUUCUUUUUUUUUCCAUCAACAUGAGAAAAAUACAUUUGCAUCAAAUAUAGUAGAAAACAACCCAUGGCUCUGAUACCACUGUUGGGUUUUGGUAUAAUACAACAUCCUAUGGUGCACAUACAACCCUAAAUACCUUGGAUCUAUGUUUUCACUAAUUAUAUAUGCAAAUGGUUUCCAAGGCAUUAAACCUAUAACUAGCUUGCAUUUGACACAAACCAUAUAAUAUACUAGUUAGGGAAACAUACCUAAUAUGUGUCUUGAAGUCUUGAUGUAUUUGGCCUUAAGAACAUAGCACCAAUAGUAUGAAAUGCCUCAAAUGGAAUCACAACACACCUAGGACAAAGGUGGCUCUUGAGAGAGAAUUCCAUGCACCAAAACACCUCUAUAUUUCUCUAAGAAAAGAAGUUGUGAUUUUGGCUAUGGAGUAACCUAUUUAUAUAUAGGACUCCAAGGGUCAUGGGUAUAACCCAUAAUCCAUACUGAUGGGUUUUAUGAUCCAUGGUUUAUGUGGCCCAAAUCUUUAUGUAUCCAUACAUAAACUUGGUCCAACAUGGAUCAUAAGCCCAACACAUAUAAAUAUAACUAAUUAUCAUAAUUAGUCCCCAUAGAUUUAAUUAGUCUCUUUUGAUGAGUAAAUUAAUUCCAAAUUAAUUCUUGAUCGAUACUAAUGAAAACAUACGAUUUCAUAUUAAUAUAUUAUAACUUAUAAUAUAUUAAUAAACCAUAAAUAACCCUCUCUCAAAAGUCCAUCCUAACAAAUUGUCCUUAUGAUAUGCAACCCAAAUGGACCAUGAUACUCUUGGGUUAAGUACAUACCAAUUAUAGUUAUAGGCUUAGACAUCUAAUCCAAUAAUUAUAUGCUAUUUAGGAUCCAUUGUGCUCAAGUCUUCACUUGGCACAUAGUAAUCCUGCAAAAUGAUCUUUCGUUCACAUCACUCACUAUAAGUGAGUUCAUACCCCUUAAGUUAUCUUUUAAAUGAUUUUGAAUGCUUUUAUGUGGGAAAUAAAAUUAGAAAACAUGUUAGUUAUAUAAUCAAUCACAUGUGAUUUAUAACUAUGUUUCAAACAAAGGAUUUCAUUUACAUUAAACUGUGUUACCAACCAAACUACUUUUAAAUCAUUUUAUAAACUGACAUCAAGUCAUUAUUAUUUAUUGUUAAAAACUCUUAAAAUGUAUUACAAAACCACUCUUAAAUUUAUAUACUAUCAAAAGCAUGUCUAUAUAUGUAUAGUUAUAUAAAUAAUGUUUAAAGGACUUAGGACUGCUAACUCGCUUUAUUUCCUUUUCUUUGUUUGGAUGUGGACUUAGGGUAUCAGUUAUUUGUCCGAAGGUCGUCUAAAUAUUAGAUAUAUAUUAUGUAUACAUAUGUGGAUAUAAAAGUACUAUCAAUCAGUUCAGUACCUUUGGGUAGCAAAGGCAUACAUUCAGUCAUUCAUUCAAUUACUAAAAUCACUAGUCAACUAUAAUAGGUAUAGUUUAGGAGAAUACUAUCAUAUACAAACUCUAUAAUAGAGAAUACUAUAACAGAGAAUACUAUAACAGAGAAUACUAUACAGAGAAUACUACAUAGAGAAUACUAUAUACAGAAAAUACUAUAUAGAGAAUACUAUACAUGGAAUACUAUUACUAUAACAAGUAUAAUAUAAAAGGUUAAGAAAUAACAUAAUGUGAGAUAAUACUUCAUGACACAACAACCAUUUUGUUGUGUCACAUUUUGUAACCAGAAACUCCUGGAGGGAGAGCGUGAGUUUGCGUAUAGAUCUAUACUGGAUUGACUAUCCUACACCCUUGUUGUUCGCUACAGUGGGAUUUUUAAGUCUACGGGUGCCAAAUGUCAUUUCUUCCGAUGUCUUUCAACAGCAUGUUAUAGUUAGUUUAGUAUGGUAACAAUCUUAUCACAUUUUCCUUAAUUAAACCAUUCUUUUUAAGGUAGUUAUUACUUCAGUAGUUAAUACAAAUAAUACUACAGUACACAUACGUUUUCCCAUUAUAUUCAAAUUGUGAUCUUCUCACAUAAAGGGUCAUAUAAAACUAUAUUUUGGUAAUGAUAGUCAUAUUUGGGAAAAGCAUUCACUUUUACAGAGAAACAAACAUACAAAACAGUCGGGUCUUGGUAAAAGACUACUUUUUAUACUAGUAGAAAAUAUAGGAUUUUCUAGGAGUUUUCAAACAUAUACAAAUAUUUACAUUGAACAUUUACAAACAUUUUCAUCGAAAUUAUACAGACAUUGACACUAAAUACUUAUGAACUCACCGGCUUAAAUACUAAUCAACGCUUUCAAAAUAACUUGUAUUCUCAGGUCAUCAAUAGACAGGUACCGAUGGCAGGUUUUGAGAAGACGGAGCACAGUCAAGACUCGUCUUUUAUUUUGAUUAUUCAUUUUUGGUGUCUUAUUACUAUCAAAAGAACACACUUGUAUGAAAUUAUACUAUUAAUGCAAUGGAUGAUGUUGUUGCUUAUUUACUACUUUGCACUGUUAUGAUACUAUACAUGACGUCCUCCACCCCAGAAUGUUUCCGCCAUUUAGGUUUUGGGGUGUGACACCCUUGAUGGUUUCUUGAUGAUUCCAUGGUUGCAUUUCUAACUAUGACAAUACGGAUGGCUUCAAUUUUGCUAUCUAGCCUCCUAGGUUUCUGGUAGCAAUCGGGUCGUCUCUUUUCCUAAUGGACAAAUAAGAAGGCACACUUCAAAAGUAGACAAAUACAAAGUAAGAAAGCGAUACCUUUGGAUGGACCCGGGUAUUGUUAUCUAAUUCCUAACUUUAAUGUCAAAUGAGAGUGUUGCAAUAUUAGUUUUUUAGAGAAAUGUUCUACCUACUUCCUUUGGUUAUGAUCGGCUUUUAUAGGCUUUCAAAGACGUAUUAGUUCGAGCUUUUACCUGGAUUUUUGUGUAGUCCAGGUAAGGACAGCUUAUUGUGGGUAUCUUUACAUUAUGCUUUUCGUCAAAUAUGCUUUUCGUCAUAUAUGCUUUUCUUACAACCUAUGCCCCAUGUUUAUUAUUAGUCAAUCAUGCUUCAUUCUUUCAUAACGAAUAAUGUGUAUGUCUAUUAGGUUUAGAGGUUCCCAAGUCGGUAUUUGCUUCUUUGCCGACCUGGGUACACCAUAAGUCACUCUAGCUAAAUAUGAUAUUUUUAAAACUAUUCCAUUAUGGACCUAGUGCAUGUCUCUCCUACUCUGAUUCAUAAUCUUAUCUUUUCUUGAAAGAAUCUAAUUUGCUUGCACCUUGAAAUCGAACAUCCAUACCGGCUUGCUACAAUGUAAGAACAAAUGCUAUAUAUAUUGUUGUUCGUCAUCAAUGAGAUUCUAACUUUUAUCAUUCAGAUGGUUUUGUUGAUUAUUUCAAAGUCCAUCUAGUGGUUAAAUACAUUACCGUAAUGCCCUGAAUUCAGAAGACCUAGAAAGGAAAGAAAAGCUUAAGAUGAGGAAGUGACUCGUCGGGUAGAUGGGUGAUUCGACAAGCAGGAGCGCUAAUUUGGUCGUAGGUUAAGUGACCUACUUGACGAGUCAAAAGGAUGACUCGACGAGUUGGCCAGAUCUUGGGAAAACCCUAAAUCGGGAUUUGUUGCCCUAUUUAAGCAUCUUAUUCUCAUUCUAUCAGGCUCAUUUGUAGCCUCCAUUGUCCAGAACUGUCCCACAAAACCCUAGUGCUCUUUUUGAGUGUGUGAUCCAUUAUUGAAGGAUUUAGAGUAUUCUUCAUGUCCAGAAGAAGAAGAAGGAGGAGGUUGGAGGUCCAAGGAGAAGGUUAUAGAUCUAGGAAGUUUGCUUCAUAUUCUUCAUUUUCUUAUAAUCAAGUUGUCACCUUGACUUGUAGUUUGUUUGAUCUCUUUAUGUCCCUUUUUAUGGAGUUUAUGGUCCAAGAAGGAUGUCUUGUGGACGAUGACAUGAGUGAAAUCUCUGUAGAGGAUGAGGUUGACUGUUCUGAGUUCAUUAGGAGCGAACCUGAAAACCACAAAAACUUGAUUUCUGAAAAUUCUGUGGAAUUUGCUCGUCUGUCCAAAAAUAAGUCCCCAAUCCUUAAAGAAAAGGCCGUGGUAUACAAAAAAGUUAGAACCACUCCCAAUCAGGUUUAUAAGGUUACAGGAGUAACCGAACAUCAGAUAGCCGAACUCAUUGCCAUGGUGAAUGAAAAUAAUGCAGAUGGUUGUGAUGAGUUUUUCUGGUCUGCACCGAUAGACAACGCAGAUGAAACAGUUGGUUUAUCGGAGCAAACAUCAUGGAAGGCCAAAGGUAGAUAUGUGGCAGAACCACUAAAUAAACCUACCAACUUUGACGUGCCCAGUUCCAGUGGUACAAAAGAUGUUCCAAAGGAAUAUGUCUUGUAACACUCGUGUUUCUAGCCUAGGCAUUUAUAUUGAGUUGAUAGUCUAGGUUAACCUUUGUAACUCAUUUUGAAGAAAUGAAAAGGAAUUAUGUGAAUUAUGUGUUUUAUGCUUAAUUAUUAGGGCUUAAUUAAUUAAAAAUAAAAAUGAGCGUCAAAAUUAAAGUGUGAGAUAAGCCCGAUAUCUUUAUAUAAAGUUGUAGUGGUCGAAACAAGGAUUUCGGGGAUAUAAAGAAUACCAAAAUCCGAGUUAUAACGAAGAAGUUAUAACCUGUCGAAGUUUCGCGAAAAAACUUGCACGGUGCUGAAUGUCGUAAAAAGUGAGUUUUUGAUAAACUAAUUUUUAGCUUUAGUAAUCUAAACGAAAGUCGUAGUAUUCGUUAAACCGAGAAUUUCGAUAAAAAGAACGCCCAAAUCUGACUUCGUAUGAGGAAGUUAUGAUUUUUCGAAGUUCCAGCUUAGCAGUAGACAGCUAAAAACUCAAUUUUUAGAUCGAGCGAUUUUUAGCCGACACAACCUAAAUGAGAGUUGAAGGUCUCGUCAUUAGGAGCACAACGGUAAAAAGUCUGACGAAAACGGACGUCGUAUGAAGAUGUUAUGAAUUUUUAACGGAUUUCUUGUCCUCGUCUGUUAAAAAUAACAAUAUAAAAUUUCAAGUCAAAAUUAGCCGACGAAGUCUAAACGAAAAUUGUAGAGCGUAAUUUUAGCUACGCGUGCAUAUAGAAAACGUCAAAAACGGAGCUCGUAUGCAAAAGUUAUGGAUUUUAGAAGUUUUGGCGCGAAAAGCAAGAAAAUCCGCAUAGUCACGAGUUGCCACGUCACCCUCGCUGAAAAAGUGCCACGUGUCCUGCUGAGUCACUGAAGCUGCUGAGUCAUGCGAAGCCACAUGUCAGAUCCUCACUAUGCCUGCCGCGUGUUCCGAGCGUCGCAUAGCCUAGCUCCGAACCGCGCAUGUGCACCAGUAGGCUGUGGUCCACUUAGAAGCUGCCAGCGAGCCCUCGCAGGUGCGACCCAUGUGCGAGCCAUGCGCGGCCUCGUGCGAGCCACCCCCCUCUGUGAGCUUCGGAUCUGCGAUGCGUGUCUUCCUCCUGACCAUCCGAUCAGAAGCCUCGCCUCUAUAAAUGGAAGGGUGCGAGACCUCCCGGGUAUACUUAGGAAAAUUGUCAAUUUUAACCCCUAGACCCGUAUUUCUUUCAUCUUAACAUUCCGCGAAGCCCCAGUAUCGAUUGUAAAGCCUGGAAUACUCCACGAAGUGCACGUGAAGCCCGUAAAAUUUAUCUUUUUGGUUUCGAAGCCCGACUUUUGCAGAGCCCGCUUUCUCCAUAAAAUUCCCAGUUUUAUUAGAAACGAUCGUUUUAGGAAACGAAUUGUUGCCCGAUUUUCUGUGACAACCCGAAAUUUCUAUUCUGAACAAACCAUAUCAAGCCAAUAGAUGUAGAACAGUUCAAUGUAAACUCAGAUUUCGAGUAUAAGUUUGGCAGUUUUCAGGAUUUUACACUUAAGGAGAUAUUAGGAGAGUGGAUGCACUAGGGUUUUCUGCAACACUAUUAUUCCAAGACUGUAGGACAUUAGAGUUCGUUUCAGGAAUAAAAAUAUUUUCUGCCAAAAAUAUUUCAGGACUAUAAAUAGAUUUCUGAACUAAAUUCAUUCAUUAUUCACAAUUCAAACUAGAGAAAAACCGUUUUCUCUCUCACGGAUCUUCGGGUUUCAUCCCAAAUCGUGAGUACACUUCUCUAGUUGUGUUAUAAUGCUUGUUUUAUGCUUAUUAACAUAGAUUAUAUGUCAAAUAUAUGACAUCCGGGAGUUUACCGCCCAAGAACGUUCUUGGGGAGUAAACUCCAAAAUGAAGCUUAAUGGCCAUCUAGUCCCAUUUCCUUGUUAGGUAUCUAGCUUAGGAUAAUAUGUAUGAACAUUUGAGACUAGAAAUCAAUCAAGAACACCUAGCUUUAGGAGUUUACGGCCCAAGAGUUUCUUGGACCGUAAACACCAAUUUCAAGGGCUUAAAUGUGCCCUAAUCACCCCCAAAGGCUUAGGUUUUAUUAUAGACAUGUACCCUAAAGUGAUUAGAACCUAGAAAACACAUGGAAACACAAGUGUUGAAGAGUUUACGGCCAAGAGUAGUUCUUGGGCCGUAAACUCCUAUAAAGGGGUCAAAGGACACCCUAACUCCUUCCUUAAGCCAAGAGACCAAUUUGGGCAUGUACCUAAAUGAGUUUUGGACUAGUUAAAACACUUAGAACACCAAGAGUGAGGGAGUUUAUGGCCCAAAAGGUUCUAGGGCCGUAAACUCCAUAAAAUGGUGCCAAAUGGUGCCAUAAACUCUUCUAAAGCCAAGUACCAAAGCCUAGUUUAGUUCCUAGUUAAUUUAGAGACUUGAAAACACCAUAAAAACCCUCCCAAGGGAGUUUACGGCCGUAAACUCCAAGGGAAUAUGGUCUAUGGGCCGUAAACUCCCCAAAGGAGUUAAUAUGGUACCCAAACACUUGUAUAGCCUUGAAACAAUUCCCCUCUAGAGUUGUAGUAAUUCUAAGCUUCAAUUAGGGACCCUAAGGAGAGUUUACGGCCAGGAGUUUACUCCCCUGGGCCGUAAACUCCAAAGAAUAUGGUCAUUAGACCUUAAACUCCCAUUAGGGGCAUUGCACUCCUUUGUUGCAACCCAUUAGCCUCCUAGCACUUGACCAAAAGUGUUUUCCUCGCGUUUAAAUGUUUAUACUUGUAUAAUUAGUGUUUUAAUCACUAAUUAUUUAUAUACAUAUGUUUUCAUAUGUAAUUAGGAUCAUUGUGUGUGUCUAAGUCUUCACUUGACACCAAGCACUUGUCCGAUCCUUCCGUACGAUAACAGUCCGUUCAAUUCCAGUCACUUACUGCAGGUGAGUUCAUACCCCUUAACUAAUGUUUUAAACUAUUUUUAAAUGUUUUAUGGGGGGGAUACAAGUAGAAUCAUGCUAGUUAUUAUAUCAAUCACAUGUGAUUAAUAAGUAGAAUUAUGCUAGUUAUUACAUCAAUCACAUGUGAUUAAUAUACAACAUUCAAAUGAUUUGGCUACUCAUUAGCCGUUUUACCAAACAGUUUCCUUCAAAUGAUUUUUAUAAACAUUUUAUAUGUUUUAAACUCCUUAUUACACUGUACAUUUUACUCUGUAUAUCACAUUUCAAACUUAUUUACAAUUGUGUUUCAAACAAAUGUUUCUUUAUACUAAACUGUUUUAUCAAACCCAUGCCUUCAAAUUGUUUUAUAGAUUGACAUCAAGUCGAUCUUUUCUUAAAAUAAUAUUUAUGUUUCAAAUGUCUUACAAAACUUAUUUAUGCUUUUAUAUUAUAAAUUGCAUGCCUCUAUAUGUAUAGUUAUAUAAGAAAUGUUUAAAAGACUUAGGAAGGCUAUCCACCCUAUUUCCUUUUCGCGCUUGAGAUGUGGUCUGGUGGGAUAUCGGGUACUCGUCCGAAGGUCGUUUAAAUAUUAGUUAUAUAUCAUGUGUACAUAUAUAGUCAUAAAAGGUCCUUCCAGUUCAUCCCAUGCCCUUGGGUAGCAAGGGUAUACAUCCUUGUCCAUACGUACCACAUAGAUUACUAGUAAGCUACCAUAUGGGUAGUUUAGGAAGAUACUAGAACUAUUACUAGAACACGAUAUCAUUCAAUGAGUCAGUUCAUUCAUGAGUCAAUACUUUCUAGAACAUUACAGUACAUUACUAUACUUGCUAGGUAGAGAGCACGUACAUUACAGAUAGAACAGUUCGUUACAUUACACUUACAUUAAUACGCCAAUAAUUGUGAUCCACUGUAUGGAAGCAUGCCUUAAUUGUCAUGCCCCGGGUUGUAACCAGAGUCUCUUGAAGGGAGAGCGUGAGUUUGCGUAUAGAUCUAUACUGGAUUGGCUAUCCUACACCUUGCUGCUAGCUACAGCAGGACCGGUAGGUCUGCAGGUGCCAAACGUCAUACCUUAUUUUCGACUAUACGUUGUCGUUGUUACCAGUCUAUAGUAUGGUGCAAUUUAUCACAUAAUGCCUUAAUAUAAAUCCGGUUUAAGGUAGUUAGUACGGCUGUAGUUCUUAUAGCACUACACCAUAGUACUAGUUCAUUUUCCCAUUUCAUUCACUUCGUGAACAUUCACACGACGCACGGUAAUGUAGAGACUAUAUUUUAGUUAAUGAUAGUUAUACUUGGGAAAAUACAUACUCUUACACGAGACACACAUCCAGACACUAGAUGCCUUGGUAGAAGNCAUAACAGUUAGGUCUCGGUAGGAGACUACUUUUUAUACUAGUAGGAAUCAUAGGGAUUUCUAGGGUUUUUCAAACACUUACAAUUCAUAUACAAUUUCAAUACAUAUAGUUACAAAUUCUUACAUACAAAUACUUACAUACAAAUUAAGACACUAAAUACUUAUGAUCUCACCAGCUUCAAAGCUGAUAAUCGCUUUCAAAAUUACUUGUAUCCUCAGGUCAUCAUAGACAGGUACCGAUGCAAGGAGAAAGGAAGAUGGAGCUUGUUCAAGUAUUAUCUUUCAUUUUGAUUUAUGCUUUAGUGUUUUUUUAAUAUUUGACAUAACACAUUUGUAUAAUCAUUAUAUUAUUAUUGCAAUGGAUGAUGUUGUUGCUUAUUUACUACUUUACAUUGUUGUUGGUAUUAUACAUGACAUCCUCCGCCCCAGAACGUUUCCGCCGUUCUUGGUUUUGGGGUGUGACAUUUUCAUCAAAAUAUGUGAGUGUGUAGUUACUUUCAAUUUACACAUAGAUAUGAAGUAUUUACCUUGAAAUACGUGUUAUGUUUAAUUAUAUUAAUUGUUUAAUUGAGGUGACUGUUGAAUUGAUGUUUUAUACAAGUUUUAAACCGUAUAUGAUUUUUAUCUACAAAAUAUGUUGGGUAGAACAUGGGUAGAUGAAAUAGUUGAUGUGUGUUAAAAAGGUGAGAGGCCUCGAUGUUGUUGUUCUUGUUGUUAUUUUUGUUGUUGUAGUCAUCUAGUGGAGUAUAGAUGAUGACCACAUACUUUCUAGAUAGUCCAGUGGAACAUUAGCAGGUUCGCAACUUGUAGGUGUUGAUGAAUUAAAUGUUCAUUGUCGUACUCCAUCCCCCUCAUGGUUGCCUUAAGGAGAUGUAUGGCUGAGGAAAACCCUUAGCAGUAGUGUCCAUCCCGAUGAUAAUCUUAGGCUAGGUCCCUUGUGAAAGGUGUUUAGGGACGUAAAGUGAGGACAAGGGAAAUGGGUAAUCAGGGUUAUUGUUGAUUGGUGAAAUUAAUAAGUGUAUUAUUAUUGUGGGUUGAAAACCCUAUAUGCUCACCAGGCUCCCAAGCCUGACCCACUCAGUUUUUGUGAUUACAGGUAGUGGACCCCGAGCAUAGUCGGAGGACGACGAGAGAUUUUUGGAUUAUAGGCUAGUAGUUGCAAAUAACUGUUCAAAGCCUUAUAAUGUCUGGUUAAUGCUUUUGAUCAGUAUCGGAACAUGACAUCCCGAGGUUUUGGAUAUAUAUAUGGAAAAUAUAUACCUUCUUAAUAAAGGGAUUUGAUAAACUUUAAUCAUAUGUUGUUAGGGGACCAAUUCCACAACAUAUUUUAAAAAGAUUUCUCUGAUUUUAUUUAAAAAGCAUAAACUAAAUCGGUCUUUUCUGGCCGAGAAAUUAGGGGAUGUCAUAGUUGGUAUCAGAGCAUUAGUUUAAACGAACUAAGAAAUUGUAGACUUUCUAGACUUGAACUUAGAAUGCUAAGUGAUGAUUGUGAGAUGAGUGUCUACCAUAUUUUAGACACGAGCACUAGUUUAUUUUAGGGAAGAUGCCUAAAAUGCCCUUAUGUGCUAAAUGCUAUGUGUUUGCCAUGUGUGCCAUUAUUUGUUCGGAUCUAUGGUCUGUUGCCGACCGGAUCUGGAAACCUUAUGUGUGUAGGAUUCUAAGCGUAUGAAUACGAGAUUAGAACUAACAUGUAAACGUUUCGGAGUGAUAAGGGAAUUGACAUGUCUAACAAGGAUAAAGACCUAAAUUCGCCUUAUUCGGUAUAUAGAUUGUAAUGGCAAGAACUCGGAGUGGAGCUGGAAAUGCAAACAGAAACCAACAACCUCAACCUCAUGUGGUGGAACAGGUGCCGAUAGUAGGAGCUGCACCCGAACCCAUCACCAUGGUUGCAGUACGAACUAUGAUUCAGGCCAUGUUGGCUGAACAGAGGGAGGAAUUGAGGCAAAUGUUGUUGAACGACAGAGAUGAACCUUCAGUUCCUGUUGAAUAACGUGAACUAAAUGACGAUCGAUCUGAAGAAGGGAACAACAGUAGAUCGGUUGGUCAUAGUGAACCGCUUGUGGUUGGGAGGAAUAACCACGAGGGUAGAGUGGAGAGAAAUAGGUGCAAGUAUAAGGACUUUAUGACUUGCAAGCCAUCCACCUUCAAUGGAAAAGAAGAUCAUAUCGGAGUAAUAGACUGGAUCUCGGAAAUGGGGUUGGCUUUCAUGACUUGUGAUUGCCAAGGCAAGUUACAAACUACGUUUGCAGUACGUCAGUUCAGGGGUAGUGCUGCUCGUUGGUGGAGCACUUUGGGGAAAACCCUAAGCCCUAAUGAGCCACUGCAAUUAACUUGGGCAGAGUUCUUAGUGCACUUCAAGCGCAAGUACUGCUCGGCCCAAAACGUACUUGAGUUAGAAAACCAAUUUCUAACGUUGCAGAAGGGGAGUAUGACCGUUGACGAAUAUACGAAUAACUUCACAGACAAAAUGGAGUUUGCUUUGCGUAUUGUCCCAGAUGAGUUGGCAAAAAUAGACAGGUACGCAAAGGGACUUCCAUGGGAGUACGUGGUGCCAGUACAUCAGGCACUUACUUUGGAGGCAGCUAUCUGGGCUGCCAAGUCUGUUGAAGAUAUGAUAAAAGGGAGAGCCGCCAACAAGGUUGAAGUUGGCAAAAAGAGAGAGUUUGAAGGAACUUCAGGUUCCAAUAAAAAGAACAAAUUCUCGAAGACUGGUUCGAGAAAGUUUGGAGGAGGAAGCGAAGCCAAGUGGUGUGACAAGUGUAAGAAGAAACAUGCUGGGAAGUGCAGCGUGGAAGUCACUUGUUACAAAUGUGGAAAGCCAGGGCAUUAUGCCAAUGAAUGCACCUUCAAUAAGAACGUAUGUUUUGGGUGCAAUGAAGAAGGGCAUAUUUUGAGGGACUGCCCGAAGAAGAAGGACGCAGCAAAACCCAAUCUACCACCAAAGCCGAAGGCGAGAGCCUUUCAGAUGACACUCGAAGCUGCGAAAGAAGAAGUCGAUGUCGCUUCAGGUACCUUUCUCGUAAACGAAUUGCCUGCCCAAAUUUUGUUUGAUUCUGGAGCCAAUUACUCCUUUAUAUCGCAUGAAUUUGGUAGAAAGCUAGCUUUGCCUGUAGAUAUGCUAGUUAAUGCUAUAAUAGUCGAGAUUGCUAGUGGCAAGUUUGUACCUGUUAGCCAUCGUAUGAAAAACAUCCUCAUUGACUUGGAUGGGAAUAAGUUCCAAGAGGAAUUAUUGCCUAUCGAGUUAAAUGGAUUCGACAUAGUUUUAGGAAUGGAUUGGCUUAGCGCCAACGAUGCAGAAAUACUAUGUAGAAAGAAGAUAGUAAAAGUAAACCCGCCAGGGAAAGAGUCGUUUAUGGUGUACGGAGACAAACGCAGAGUAAACUCUGGAAUCAUUUCCCUAAUGAAAGCCAGAAAGUGUUUGGCCAAGGGAUGUACAUCAUAUCUAGCAUUCGUGAUCGAUGCCAAGAUGGAAAAGAAGGAGGUGCAGAAUAUUCCGGUGGUGUGUGAUUAUCCGGAAGUCUUUCCCGAAGAUCUUCCCGGAUUGCCCCCUGAUCGACAAGUAGAAUUUCGUAUCGACUUGUUACCAGGAACGACGCCGAUAGCAAAAGCACCUUAUCGAUUAGCGCCAACCGAAAUGAAAGAACUUAUGACACAACUUCAGGAGUUAAUGGACAAAGGUUUCAUUCGACCUAGUUCAUCGCCCUGGGGAGCCCCUGUGUUAUUUGUAAAGAAGAAAGAUGGGAGCAUGAGAAUGUGCAUCGAUUACAGAGAGCUGAACAAAGUGACGAUAAAGAACAAGUACCUGUUGCCAAGGAUCAAUGACCUGUUCGACCAGUUGCAGGGUUCGAGCUAUUUCUCGUAGAUCGAUCUUAGGUCCGGAUACCAUCAACUAUAGGUGAGAGAGAAGGAUAUCGAAAAGACUGCGUUUAGAACGAGAUAUGGACACAAUGAAUUUUUGGUUAUGUCGUUCGGACUAACCAAUGCCCAAGCAGCUUUCAUGGAUUUGAUGAAUAGGGUUUGUAAACCAUUCUUAGAUAAAUCUAUGAUAGUAUUCAUAGAUGAUAUCUUGAUUUAUUCGAAAAGGACGUAGGAACAUGAAAAGCAUCUACGUGAAGUGUUAGAAGUCCUGAAAAUGGAGAAGCUGUAUGCAAAGUUUUCCAAAUGUGAAUUUCGGAUUCAAGAAGUCCAAUUUUUAGGUCAUGUGGUUAACCAAGAAGGAAUAAUGGUCGACCCGGCAAAGAUUGAAGCUGCAAUGAAGUGGGAACAACCAAAAAGUCCUACGGAGAUUCGAAGCUUUUUAGGAUUCGCUGGAUAUUACCGAAGGUUUAUCUAAGGCUUUUCUUCGAUUGCUACUCCAUUAACAACUUUGACCCACAAAGGAGCCACUUAUGCUUGGAAUGAGAAGCAUAAGGAAGCCUUUGAGAAGUUGAAGAAGAGAUUGUGUGAAGCACCGAUUCUUUCAUUGCCUGAAGGAGUUGAUGACUUCGCAGUUUAUAGCGAUGCAUCUAGAGUUGGGUUAGGUUGUGUUCUGACCCAAAGGGAUAAAGUGAUCGCGUAUGCAUCGAGGCAAUUGAAGGAACAUGAAAAGAACUACCCCACUCAUGAUCUGGAGUUGGCAGCGGUAGUAUAUGCCUUAGAGACAUGGAGGCAUUAUCUUUUUGGCACAAAGUGUAAACUUUUCACUGAUCAUAAGAGUCUCCAGUAUCUCUUUAAUCAGAAGGAAUUGAACAUGAGGCAACGAAGCUGGCUAGAGUUACUCAAGGACUACGACUGUGAGAUACUUUACCACCCUGGAAAAGCAAAUGUUGUUGCUGAUGCUCUCAGUCGGAAGGUAAACCUUGAAAAGAAAAGGCCAAGAGUGUUGAGAAUUGAAGUUGUCUCGACAAUUUUGGAAAGUAUAAAGAAAGCUCAAGAGGAAGCUUUAGAGAAAAAUGACCGAAAGGAAGAACGUUUUGGGCAAAAUGUUAGUGUUCGGUACAAACAACCAAGGGUUGAAGGCAUUCCAAAAUAGGAUUUAGGUACCUAAGAUGGGUGGAAUAAGAGAUCUUUUGAUGGAAGAAGCUCACAAGACCAUGUACUCGAUUCAUCCCGGCAGUACAAAAAUGUAUAGGGAUCUAAAACCCUAUUAUUGGUGGCCGACGAUGAAACUCGAUGUUGCUAUGUAUGUGGCCGAGUGUGUAACUUGUGCUAGGGUUAAGGCACAACAUCAGAAACCGUAUGGGAGUUUGGAACCUUUACCCAUACCCAUGGGUAAAUGGCAUGGGAAGACAUCACCAUGGGUUUUGUGACUAAACUACCCAGAACAAGGAACGGUCACGACAUGAUUUGGGUGGUCGUUGAUCGCUUCACUAAGAGUGCGCAUUUCAUAGCAGCCAAAGAGAAAUGGUCUAUGAAUAAACUUGCAAAUUCUUACGUGAAGGAAAUUGUGAGGCUUCACGGUGUUUCGCUAACGAUUGUAUCCGAUCAUGACAGUUGUUUUACCUCGAGAUUUUGGAGGAGUCUACAAGAGGAAUUGGGUACCAAGUAGUGUUUGAGUACAACUUACCAUCCACAAACCGAUGGUCAGAGUGAACGAACGAUUCAAACAUUGGAGGAUAUGCUGAGAGCAUGUACCCUAUAAGUUCAAGGUAACUGGGAUGAACACUUACCUCUAGUAGACUUCUCCUAUAAUAAUAGUUUCCACUCGAGCAUCAAUAUGGAACCUUAUCACGCUUUGUAUGGGGGGAAGUGUCGACGCCAUCAUGCUGGCCGGAAGCUGGGGAAAAGCAGUUUAUCGGACCUGAAAUAGUCCAUCACACUGCUGAAAAGUUGAAAGUGAUAAGGGAAAGGAUUUUAGUUUCUCAAGAGAGACAAAAGAGUUAUGCUGACAAGAAAAGACAAUCGAUAUCCUUUGAUGUUGGAGAUUCGGUUUUACUUAAAGUCUCACCGUGCAAGGGACUUAUAAGAUUUGGUAAGAGAGGGACGUUGAGUCUAAUGUUUAUUGGACCAUUUAAAGUUAUUCAGAGGAUCGGGAAUCAAGCUUACAAGCUAGAGUUACCGGAAGAACUAGAGGGUGUUCAUAACACCUUUCAGGUGUGUUAUUUGAGAAAGUUCACAGGAGAUGUGCCCGACAUAAUUCCGAUUUUUGAGUUAAGGUUGGAUGAAAACAAGAGGUUGAUUGAAGAACCUGAGGCAAUUGUUGACCGUAAGACUAUGAAGUUACGACGCAAGAUGGUCGAUUUAGUGCUUGUGCGCUGGAAACAUACGAAUGGACCAAAUCUCACUUGGGAAACGGAGAGUGACAUGAUGAGUCGCUACCCGCAGUUGUUUGGUGAUAUGUGGUUCCGGGGACGGAAUCAUCCUAAGGGGACAGAAUUGUAACACUCGUGUUUCUAGCCUAGGCAUUUACAUUGAGUUGAUAGUCUAGGUUAACCUUUUUAACUCAUUUUGAUGAAAUGAAAAGGAAUUAUGUGAAUAUUAUUUGAAUUAUGUGUUUUAUGCUUAAUUAUUAGGGCUAAAUUAAUUAAGAAUAAAAAUAAGCGUCAAAAUUAAAGUGUGAGAUAAGCCCGAUAUCUUUACAUAAAGUUCUAGUUGUAGAAACAAGGAUUUCGGGGAUAUAAAGAAUACCAAAAUCCGAGUUAUAACGAAGAAGUUAUGACCUGUCGAAGUUUCGCGACAAAACCGACACGGUGCUGAAUGUCGUAAAAAGUGAGUUUUUGAUAAACUACUUUUUAGCCAUAGUAAUCUAGACGAAAGUCGUAAUAUUCGUUAAACCGAGAAGUUCGAUAAAAAGAACACCCAAAUCUGACUUUGUAUGAGGAAGUUAUGAUUUUUCAAAGUUUCAGCUUAGCAGUAGACAGCUACGAACUCGAAUUUUAGAUCGAGCGAUUUUUAGCCGACACAUCCUAAACGAGAACUGAAGGUCUCGUCAUUAGAAGCACAACGGUAAAAUGUCUAACGAAAACGGACGUUGGAUGAAGAAGUUAUGAAUUUUUAACGGAUUUCCUGUCCCGGUCUGUUAAAAAUAAUAAUAUAAAAUUCAAAGGCAAAAUUAGCCGACGAAGUCUAAACGGAAGUUGUAGAGCGUAAUUUUAGCUACGCGUGCUUAUAAAGCAUGUCAAAAACGGAGCUCGUAUGCAAAAGUUAUGGAUUUUAGAAGUUUUGGCGCGAAAAUCGAGAAAAUUUGCAUAGUCAUGAGUUGCCACGUCACCCUCACUGAAUAAGUGCCACGUGUCUUGCUGAGUCACCAAGAUGCUGAGUCAUGCGAAGCCACGUGUCGGAUUCUGAUUUGACCGAAGGGAGGUCCAAUCUGAGGCUAGCAUAUGGACCGAACCUCGCACCCUAGCUCUGAGCCUCGCAUGUGUAAUACGACUCCGCGGUCCAAUCAGCAAGUGCCACUGAGACCUUCGCACAUGCUGACCACCUGCGUAUCGGACACAUGCCUCGGUCCACUUAGAAGCUGCCAGUGAGCCCUCGCAGGUGCGACCCAUGUGCGAGCCAUGCAUAGCCUCGUGCGAUCCACCCCCUCUGCGAGCUUCGGAUCUGCGAUGCGUGUCUUCCUCCUGACCAUCCGAUCAGAAGCCUCGCCCCUAUAAAUAGAAGGGUGCGAGACCUCCCGGGUAUACUUUGGAAAAUUGUCAAUUUUAACCCCUAAACCCAUGUUUCUUUCAUCAUAACAUCCCGCGAAGCCCCGAUAUCGAUUGUAAAGUCCGGAAUACUCCACGAAGUGCCCGUGAAGCCCGGAAAAUUUAUCUUUUCGGUUUCGAAGCCCGAAUUUUGCAGAGCCCGGUUUCUCAAUAAAACUCCCGAUUUUAUUAGAAACGAUCGUUUUAGGAAACGAAUUGCUGCCCAAUUUUCAUCAAAAUAUGUGAGUGUGUAGUUACUUUGAAUUUACACAUAGGUAUGAAGUAUUUACCUUGAAAUACGUGUUAUGUGUAAAUAUAUUAAUUUUUAUAUUGAGGUGACUGUUGAAUUGAUGUUUUAUACAAGUUUUAAACUGUAUAUGCUUUUUAUCUACAAAAUAUGUUGGGUAGAACAUGGGUGGAUGAAAUAGUUGAUGUGUGUUAAAAAGGUGAGAGGCCCCGAUGAUGUUGUUGUUGUAGUCAUCUAGCGGAGUACAGAUGACGACCACGAAAUUUCUAGAUAGUCCAGUGGAACACUAGCAGGUUCUCAACUUGUAAGUGUUGAUGAAUUAAAUGUUCAUUGUCGUACUCCAUCCCCCUCAUGGUUGCCUUAAGGACAUGUAUGGCUGAGGAAACCCCUUAGCAGUAGUGUCCAUCCCGAUGAUAAUCCUUAGGCUUGGUCCCUUGUGAUAGGUGUUUAGGGACGUAAAGUGAGGACAACGGGAAUGGGUAAUCAGGGUUAUUGUUGAUAGGUGAACUUAAUAAGUGUAUUAUUAUUGUGGGUUGAAAACCCUAUAUGCUCACCAGGAUCCUAAGCCUGACCCACUCAGUUUUUAUGAUUACAGGUAGUGGACCCCGAGCAUAGUCGGAGGACGACAAGAGAUUUUUGGAUUAUAGGCCAGUAGUUGUAAAUAAUUGUUGAAAGGCUUAUAAUGUCUUGUUUAUGCUUUUGGUAUGUAUCGGAACAUGACAUCCCGAGGUUUUGGAUAUAUAUAUGGAAAAUAUAUACCUUCUUAAUGAAGGGUUUUGAUAAACUUUUAUCAUAUGUUGUUUGGGGACCAAUUCUGCAACAUGUUUUAAAAAGAUUUCUCUGAUUUUAUUUUAAAAAGCAUAAAUUAAAUCGGUCUUUUGUAGCCGAGAAAUUAGGGGAUGUCACAUGUGUCCUCAACAAGCGAAACCUCUUCCUUGAAAAGUGAACCUGUUGCUCAGAAGCCGAAGUAGAAGGCAAAUAUUCACAGUCAACCGAAACAAGUGAAAAAUCAAAAGCAGCAGAGGAAUUUAGGAUACAAGAAAAAUCUCUCAGAGCGAAAGCAAUUUUGGCGCUCCCAAAAUCCUCACUAUACUCAAUUUGACAGAAACUCCAAGCCAAAAGGAGAAGAAAAUAAGAGUCAAAGAAGCUUCGGUCCAUCAGAUCAAAAGAACCAGAAGAAGACUUUCGGGCCACAGGAAGAACAAAACCGAAAGGAUAGGUUCGGUCCCGAAAGUAACAACAACCGAAAGACUGGUUUCGGUCCACCAAAAAACAACAGAUAAAGACGAAAGUUCACCCCAUCAAGCUUUUACAGCAGAAGACCCAGUUUCGGUCCAGCAACCCACAACAACUGAAAAUCCAGUUUCGGUCCAUAACCAAACAGCAGCUGAAGGUCUAGGUUCGGUCCCUCAAAUGAUCACAACCGAAAGGGUCAUUUCGAACCACAAUUCAGGAAAGAUUCUCAUGCUAACUUCUAUUCUUCUAAUUCUUCUCGUUCUCAUUCUUCUUCUAAGCCUAAUUCUCUUCCUACACCAAACUCACAAUCGUCGAAGGAUUUGAAAGGAAAAAGGAAGAUUUCCUCAGCAAAUGAAGACCAAAAGCAAGCUAAAGUCCAAACGCCCGAACCUGAAUCCAAAAUACCUGCAUCUAACUCCAAUAAAAUCAAAGUGUUUACCACUAAGAGGAAAGAUGAAACAACCUUAAUAAAAUGAACAUAUCUAGUUGAUGUUUCUUUUACUAUUCUUGUUUCUGUAAAAGGCUCACGUGGACCCAAGAAACUUUGGGUUCCUAAAUCUGCUUAAUUUUUGCAGGUUAUAAGUGACGAGCAGUUCGACGAAGAAUGGUACAUAGACAAGUUUGGUAACAACUCUUAUGGAAUGAUAAAGGGUUAUGGGAUGAUAACCAAUUGAGACUUUACAAUCAGGAAGGUGGCGUAUGUAGAAGGGUUGCAGCAUAACCUCGUCAGUGUGUCUCAACUGGUGGGAGGUACAGGUCUCAAAGUCUCUUUCGAUGACAAAGGUUCAGAGAUAAUAGAGAAGAAAUCCAACAAAGUUAUUCUCAAUUCUGAACGAAAAGGUGAAAUGUUCCCUUUGAAUCUCAGACCAAUCAAAGGGAAUCUAGCCAUAUGUCUUUUGACCAAAGCCCAUUCAGACGAAAGUUGGUUGUGGCACCGAAGGCUCUCACACCUCAACUUCAAUGACAUCAACAAGCUAGUCACAGGUGGUCAUGUUCGGGGACUCCCACUGCUUAUGUUCGAUCGAGAACACUUAUGUGCUGCAUGUGAAAUGGGGAAACAAAGUCGCCAAAGUCACCCAACAAUCAUAAACACCAAAGUUGUUGAACCACUUGAGUUGCUUCACAUCGACUUAUGUGGUCCAUCAUCAAUCGAGAGCAUUGGCAGUAACAAGUACAUCCUUGUUAUUGUUGUUGAUUUCUCACGAUUUACUUGGGUAUUCUUUCUAAAGCACAAAUUUGAGGCGACUCCCAAACUGAAGAUCUUUAUCAACCAAGUCGAAGUGCAACUGAGAAAAGUCGUUCGAAACAUCCAGAGCGACAAUGGACUGGAAUUCAAGAACAAAGAAUUCGAAGAUUUCUUAGCAGAAAAGGGCACCAGUCACAAUUUCUCAACCCCCUAUACACCUCAAAAGAAUGGAAUUGUCGAAAGGCGAAACCGAUCCCUGUGUGAGGCGGCCCGAUCCAUGGUGAGUUUUGCUUCCCUUCCUCUAUAUUUCUGGGCUGACGCCAUUGCUACAGCUUGUUUUACUCAAAACAGAUCUUAUCUCAACAAGCGUUUCUCUCUCACCCCUUAUGAGAUUAUUAAAAACAGGAAGCCGAAUGUCAAGUUCUUUCACGUGUUCGGUUCAAGGUGCUUCAUCUUCAACUCCAAAGAACAUCGCAACAAGUUUGAUGUCAGAGCUGAUGAAGGUAUCUUUCUGGGAUAUUCUCUUACUUCAAAGGCAUACAGGGUUUUGAAUAAGCGUUCUAAAAGAAUUGAAGAAACCUAUUAUGUGACGUUCAAUGACAAUUACGUCAAGAAGUAGAAGUCUACCGAAGAAGCAAUUGGAGAGAUUUUCUCUCAAACAGGUCAAGUCACAGCCUCAAUCGCCAAUCUCUAUGAGGAGUUCAUGGAUCUAUUUGAUGAACCUGAGAAAGCUGCUCACUCUGAGGCCACGACAACAUACAACAAGAUUGAUCACCUUAAGAAGAUUGUAGAAGAUGCAGCCAAACAAAUGGGAGCAGAAGAACCAGUUCGAAAAGAACCUCCCCAGAGCGGUACUUCGGUCAAGGGGGAGAAUCAAUUUUCUUCAAAUCAACAGGAGACACAUAUCCAGGGGGAGAAUCCAAUCUUUGACGCACCCGAAAGUCCUGUAGCACCCGAAAGCCCAGCUGCACUCGAAAGUCCUGUGGCACCCGAAAGUCUGGUAGCACCCAAAAGCCUAGUUGCACCCGAAAGCCCAGCUGCACUCGAAAGUCCUGUGGCACCCGAAAGUCCGGUAGCACCCAAAAGCCUAGUUGCACCCGAAAGCCUGGUUACACCCGAAAGUCCAAUGACAACCGAAAGUCUGGAUCAGCCUGAAAGCCCAGUCGAAGAAAGAUUUUUUGGUUCACAUCCAAAUGAUUCAUCAUCUGUCGAGGGGGAGAAUUUUGAUAUGCACUAUGACGAUGAUGUUCAAUCAGAGUUGGAAGAAAUGGUAAAUGCUGAAUUGGAUCCAUCCUAUGAUCCAAAUUAUCCUCCUCUCACCAAAUGGACCAGAGAUCAUCCUGUAUCUCAAAUAGUGGGUGAUGCAUCAGAAAAGGUUCUAACUCGAUCACAACUAAAGGUGAAGCAAACUGCUCUAUUCUCCAAAGUAGAAUUAUGCAUGUUUAAUUCUUUCAUCUCCAAAAUACAGCCGAAGACCGUCAAUAUUGCUCUCGAUCAUUCUGAUUGGGUUCAGGCAAUGCAAGACGAACUCAAUGAGUUUGAAAGAAAUAAGGUCUGGAGACUCAUUCCAACACCAAAAGAUGCCUCAGUUUUCAGUCUCAAAUGGGUGUUCAAAAACAAAAUGGACAAAGAGGGAAACGUUAUCCGGAAUAAGGCUCAGCUAGUGGUGAAAGGAUAUUGCCAGAAAGAAGGAAUCGAUUACGAAGAGACAUUCGCUCCGGUAGCAAGGCUAGAAUCCGUUCGAAUAUUUCUUGCUUAUGUCGCACACAAAAAUUUCGAGGUCUACCAGAUGGAUGUGAAGUGUGCGUUGUUAAAGGGGAAACAUGAAGAAACCGUGUACGUUGAGCAACCUCCUGGCUUUGUGAAUGAAAAGCAUCCAGAUCACUGCUACAUCUUAGAUAAGGUUGUUUAUGGUCUGAAACAUGCACCUAGGGCAUGGUAUGAAACAUUAACUAAGUUUUUAAAGGUGUCUAAAUUCAUACAAGGUUCGAUUGACCCAACCUUCUUUCGUAAAAAGGAAGGUAACCACCUUAUGGUCGUUCAAAUCUAUGUCGAUGAUAUCAUCUUGGGCUCAACGAAUCCUAACCUAACAGUUGAAUUCAAAAAGUUGAUGGAGACUAAAUUUGAAAUGAGCUCAAUGGGUCCGAUUAACUUUUUCCUUGGCCUAAAUAUUAAACAGGGACCCGAAGGCAUCUUUAUCAACCAAGAAGCAUAUACGAAGACUCUCCUUGCCAAAUUCGGCAUGAUGGGAGACUCAAAGGUCAAAGUCCCUAUGGCGUUCGGCACCCAGCUCACACCAUCUUUGGAAAAACCGGCAGUCGACAUAAUGCUAUAUCGCCAAAUGAUUGGUUCCCUGAUGUACCUCACAGCUAGCAGGCCCGAUAUAAUGUUUUCAGUAUGCUAUUGUGCCAGGUUUCAAGAAAAUUCUCAUGAACCACACAUGCUGGCAGUGAAGAAUAUAUUCCGGUAUUUGAAGCGAACCACCUCUCUCAGUCUCAGGUGUCCCUCAAACUGAGGUUUCUUCGUUCAAGCCUACUAAGAUGCAGACCUAGGAGGAUGUGGUCUAGAACAGAAAAGCACUACAAGAGGAUGUCAAUUCCUCGACGGGAAGUUGGUGAGAUGGAAAUCUAAGAAACAAACAUGUGUUUCACUGUCUACAGCCGAAGCAGAGUACAUUGCAGCCGCCUCCUGCACAUCCCAAGUCAUUUGGAUCCAAAGCCAACUCCGGGAUUAUGGACUCAAUAUGAAAAAGAUCCUACCAUAUUGCGACUCAGAAAGUGCAAUUAGGAUCUGUCAUAACCCAGUGCAACAUUCCAAGACGAAGCAUAUAACACUGAGGUAUCACUUUAUUAAGGAUCAUGUAGAAGAUGGAAACGUAGAAAUUCACUUUGUUCGAACCAAUGAUCAACUGGCCGACAUCUUCACCAAAGCCCUUCCUGAGGCAAGCUUCAAUAAAAUCCUACAAGGCCUAGGUAUGAUGGAAUCGGAGUCUGUACCAAAAACACCUUCUCAGAACUAAAAGUUGGAAGCGUAAGGAACCGAACGCUCGGUCUAUUUCGGGCUCGGUUCACACUGGAACCGAAAUGAACCGAACACUCGGUCUAUUUCGGCUUCGGUCCCACCGCACUUAUUUUCACUUAUCUCAAAAAGGUGAUAUCUUUGCUUGUAUACUUUUGUACAAUUGGAUUCCAAAAAUCCAAAAAUAAUUUUUUAUGGAACCGAAAUGAACUGAGCGUUCGGUCCAUUUCGGGUUCGGUUCAAAAAAUUUUCGUUUCAGUUUGGGUUGUUUUGUUUUUCUCUUUACAAAAAUAUCUUAUAGCUUGGAUUACGACAUACGUCUUCUAAGUUAUAAAAUAGUUUGUUGGGUCCUAGCCUUAAUAUUUCAUAUUGGGUGUCAUAUUAAGGACUUAAGAUCAACUAUCUUGAAUAUCUCCCAAAAGAUGUCUGGUUUAGACAUUUAUGAUCUUCCCAAAUCUCUUGAAACAAGCUUUCCUAAAUGAAGAUGAUGUCCCAUGGAAAUCAUACUUCUUUCACCUCCUCCAAUUAUUCUCCCUAACCCACAAGUUCUUGAAAAGUUUAAGGUCACUCAAGCCCAAUUGGCAAGGCAAGGUCUAGGUGUGGUCACAUCUUGGAGAUGUAGUCACAUAUUGACAAGCCGGGAGAGUUGGGUGUCAAAGUCUUGAGAAAUUUGGUGGUUCAAUCACUUUCUAAGUCACAUAGUGAGUUCCUUUGGGACACCUAUGAAACAGACUAUGACAAGACCCUUAAUGAUCUUAUCUAUUUGUUAAGAUCAACUUCCUUAAAACUUGAUGGACAUUGACAAUAGUGACAUAGGAAAUCCUGAAAAGCAUUCUCUUCCCAAUGGAAAGGAAUCGGACAUAGUCAACUCGGUUGACCCAAUGGUAAAGAGAAAAGCUAGUCUGUGAUAGUCCCAUGUACCUUUAUCAAAGGGUCCAUAUGUUUAUAUUUCCAAAGGAAGGGACAUUGGUUACGAAUCUGCCAAAUUUACCUAAGGAUGUUGAAGUUAAUAAGUUUGACUCUACUUCAGGUAAAGUCCACUAUCUAACUCUGUUAAGUUUCUAUUAUGAGAUUCUUGAUACAUGUUGUGACUAGGUCACAUGGUGAUGUUUUAAGAAUCAAAGAAAAGUGAAGAAACUUAAAAAAGGAAUAUAUGAUUCCAUUAAUAGCGUUUGAGGAAAAACUGUUGCUUAUAUGAUUCCAUUAAUAACAAGAGUGGAAAUAUGAAAUUGAUUCU
RNAcentral lists this long non-coding RNA (82686 nucleotides) under Lactuca sativa (garden lettuce). RNAcentral's name for it is "long non-coding RNA (LSAT_LNC003089)". The record is from RNAcentral. Lineage: Eukaryota; Viridiplantae; Streptophyta; Magnoliopsida; Asterales; Asteraceae.